AUCAUUGUCAUUGUAGCUUCAUUUGUGGGGAAAAUAUUCGAAGGCUGUGGUUGAGGAUGAGUGACUGAGUUUUGGAUUGUGAAUAGAGGCUGCUUAGGUUCUGGACCACCAAUUACAGUUGUGGAACCAUUUAGCAUAAAAAUUACAUCCGGCAUGCUCGGCCUAUCCGUUGGAUUGUCCUGUACACAAAGCAACCCAAUAUGCACACAUUUCAUUACUUCUGGAGCCGAAUAUGAGUCAGCCGCCAACAUUUCAUCUACCAACUCCAAUUCCCUGCCUUCCUUCCAUAACUGCCAUGCAUAGGCUAGUAAGCCUAGCUGUCGAUCAAAGAUAUAGAAGGCGGUAUUCUUCUUGCUGCUAAUAAUCUCCAAUACCAAGACCCCAAAGCUGUAAAUAUCAGAUUUUUGAGAAAAUAUUCCACCCAUGGCAUACUCUGGAGACAUAUAUCCACUGCGUGAACAUGAAACUCAUUAGUAUAUAUGUCGCUGAAAUACGUGCCUGGUUUCUGCCUUUUAAGAACAACUUUACCAAAAAUAUAUCUAAUGUGAACGAUGCAACUAAUUAGCAGUUUUUAUCCAAACCAGGAGGAGUCGGUUAAGAGUUCAUGAAUCAUGAAUCAUGAUGCAAUGCUAACCAUUAGAACUUUGGUUGCAUAUGACAUGUUCAAGAAUAUACAGGAAAGGCAUGAAUCUUACCGCGUUCCCACAACUCUCUGAGUAUUUUCUAAAUUCUGUGUCCCUUCAACCGAACGUGACAAUCCAAAAUCUGAAAUUUUUGGGUUCAUUUUCUCAUCCAAGAGAAUGUUGCUCACUUUUAGAUCUCUAUGUAUUACCUUCAAAUAGGAAUCAUGAUGGAGAUAAACAAGCCCUCUAGCAACACCUUGAAUAAUAUUGAAACGUGUACCCCAAUCAAGCACUGCUCUUCUCAUCGAAUCUGAUCAUCAAAUAAUAGAUCAAUACACCGACUAGAAUGUAAAGAUAAGAAACUGCAGUAAAGUGCAAGUGAAACUAACCGAAAAGAAAAGUAUCCAAGCUUUUGUUUGGCAUGAGCUCAUAAAUCAAUAACUUCUCGUCCUCUUUAACGCAGCAACCCAUGAUCCUGACCAGAUUUUUGUGUUGGAGAUUGGAGAUCAACAACAUUUCAUUCUUGAACUCUACUACACCUUGCCCUGAGGUACUGGAUAGUCUUUUUACUGCUAUUUCCUUCCCUUCUGCUAGCUUACCCUAUACAAAGUCCACAAAUAAAUCACUGCAUUCAUGUCUCUCUGUAUCUAUCGUAAAAAUAAUAAUAAUAGUAAUUACCCUAUAAACUGGACCAAAUCCUCCUUGCCCAAGUUUGUUUUCUGUGCUGAAAUUGUCCGUAGCAACUAAUAUGCUAUCAAAUCCAUAGAUCCGUAGCUCAGACAGAUCAUGUUUUCCUCCUAUAUAUUCUUGUAGGAUGUCCCUUGUUAAUUUGAUGCGUCCUGAUUUUGCAAUUAUAAACAUCGAACACUGAAUCCAAGUGAAACAACCAACAAAGUUUUGAGAGAGAUGAUGUGCCAAUGCAUUAUAUUAAUCCAACACCUCGAUCUCUUUCACUUAAUUACCUUUUUGCUUAGCUCUCAUCCUGCACAAACCGAACACUAUGGCACCCAAUACACCGAUAAAACAAACAACUGUAAGGCUCACAAUUAACUUUAUUGGCAUUCCUUUACCUGAAAAAUUUAUAAAACAAAAACAAGAUGAGAUAUAUAGAAAAAGAAAAGUUACGGCUUGAUAAUUAGAGUUGUUCAAGGCUUCAAAUACUUUUGAACCAAAAAAUAGGCUUCAAGCACUAGUAUCAUUAGUUCAUCCGCUGGUUCUGCGCGUGCUAGGUGAAUAUAAACAUCUACGCCAUCAGAGGGAAACUUCUCCACAUGAAUGAGGUGUUUGGACCAGACCAAACACCGUGUUUUAUAAACACUUACGCUUGGUAAGAACAAUUAUUUAGGCGCACUGUCUUGCAGUCAGCGGAUGUGCUGUCAUAAUCCAAAGACACAAACUCAUGAGAAUCUGGUACUUUGAACCCUACCAGCUUCAGAAACCCAUCAUCAUCAUCAUUUUCUUUUCCUCUCAACGUGACUAACUUAUUUGUCUCUCUCACAAAACGAUUUGGUUUCCCACACACACCCUCCCGCCAAUUUCCUCUGCUCCAUUUCCCGUCUGAAUUGGGUACAAACCUGUUGAAUCCCACAUCGGCUAGAGGGAAAGAAGAAAAGCAAUUUAAAUAGAAUUAUCUCACUCUAACUAAUAUUGAAGUUUUUUGUGAUAAAACUUUGCACCUGAUGGAUUGGGCACUUGGUAGAGUGGGGACGGUGUUGGUAGAGUGAGUCCCUCAGCCCCUUGACCUGAAAAAUUCAACAAACCCUUUCAAGCACUUGCAGAUUGGUGAUCCAGAAGCUUUGCAAACUCCAAAAGGUCCACAUGUUCCAUAAUUGUCACAUUCUUUUUACUGAAAAUAUAACUUUAGCCCUUAAAAUUUAAUUUUCUCUACAUAAAACCCGACAUAGGUUUUUUACUUGAAUAAAACCUAUUGACAAGAUUCCAUAUCAACAAAUUCAUUAAUUAUGUUUGACUUCACACAUUUAAAGCCUAAAAUACCCCUAUUUGAAUUUUUUUUAUUUUAUUGAUAAACCCUAUUUGGAUGUUUGAUGUACAUAAUUAAUGGCUCAGCCCCUUGACCUGAAAAAUUCAACAAACCCUUUCAAGCACUUGCAGAUUGGUGAUCCAGAAGCUUUGCAAACUCCAAAAGGUCCACAUGUUCCAUAGUUGUCACAUUCUUUUUACUGAAAAUAUAACUUUAGCCCUUAAAAUUUAAUUUUCUCUACAUAAAACCCGACAUAGAUUUUUUACUUGAAUAAAACCUAUUGACUAGAUUCCAUAUCAACAAAUUCAUUAAUUAUGUUUGACUUCACACAUUUAAAGCCUAAAAUACCCCUAUUUGAAUUUUUUUUUUAUUGAUAAACCCUAUUUGGAUGUUUGAUGUACAUAAUUAAUGGCAUGCAUAUUGUAAGGAAAAAUUAAUGAUUUUACAAAAAAAAAAAAAAAAACACUAACGUUAUAAAUUCAUUGCCUAAUAUAUAAUAACAUAAAACAUGUCUAAUAUAUGUUAUUAUACAUGCUUAAUUAAGUCAAUAAAAUUAUAUUUUACAUAUUAAUUUGGAUAAAUUAUUUCACAUACACAUAUAUACAUAUACAUAUACAUGUACAUGUACAUAUACAUAUACAUAUACAUAUACAUAUACAUAUACAUAUACAUAUACAUAUACAUAUAUAUAUAUGUACAAAUGCCUGAUAUAUUUAAAAUUCAUGUAAAAUAAUUGACCUACAAAAAAUAAAAACAUUUGAUUCAAAUAGUGCACCUACUAUUAAAAUUUUAAAAUGUUAGAUUGCUUAAAAAAAAAUUUACCCAAGAUAUGUAAAAUACAUGAAAAAUAAUUUACCUACAUAAUAACAAACCCAAUAUAUGCAAAAUACAACUAAAAUAAUUUACCUACAUAAUAAAAUGUGUCAAAUAUAUAUAUAUAUAUAUAUAUAUAUAUAUAUAUAUAUAUAUAUAUAUAUAUGAUAUUGAUACAUACAAAAUAAAAUACCUACAUAACAAAUGAAUGCUAUUUGAUUCAAAAUUAAUUUACUUACAAAAUAAAGCAAGGUUAUUUGAUUCGAAGUUAAUUUACCUAUUAUUUGUACAUAUCUUAUAAUAAUAAAAUGUGUCAAAUAUAUGUAAUAAUAUAUGAACAAUAAGUUACCUACAAAAAUAAAAGAAUGUUAUUUGAUUCAUUAUUAAUUUACCUACAAAAUAUAUAUUAUUUGCUAAUCAUAAAUUUACAUAUAUAGGUAAGACGUAUAGUAGUACAUAUUGGUAAAUUAUAUAUAUAUUGAACUUAUGAUAGUACUAUAUACUUUUGACGUAUGUGUGUCUAUAUAUAUGUGUGUGUGUGUGUGUGUAUGUUGGGGUAAUAGUAUGUGCAAUAAUUAUUUGUUCAUUAUAAUUAAGGUGAGUAAUAACAUUUAUUGAUUUGAUUUGAAUAUUGUGGCACAAGUUGUAAAUAUUUUGUAAUAAUAGGUCAAUUACUUUUUUACUUGGUAAUCUAUUUCAAAUUUAGGUUUUAUUUGGAUGUUUAGAAUUAGGUGGGUUUUUAUCUAGGGAAUAAGAGUUGCAAGGUCUACAUCUAAAGAAUCCUUCUUUUUAUUGUGGCUGCGAGUAGACAUACCAUAUGGGCAGAAUCUAAUGAUGUAGUCAGGUCCGCCAUUGCAGGAUAAAUAAGCAUAGUUAUAAGCUAUAGGGCACUGCUGCUCAAGGAUCUGAGAGUACUCUGUGGGUUGACAUGUAUCAUUCGACGCAGUGCAGCAGUACUUCGGCUCGUUGAAUGCCAUGCAAGCGCUUUUGCAACUGAUGACACUCCCAUCAACCGCUUUCACUUGUAACUCAGCCGGGCAUGCUGCGUUAACAUUCGCAUCGCAAGUCGAGGCCAUGCACUCGCUGGUGCCGCCUUGUGGGGCGACGGAAAUGGGUAAGUUGAAGCCGUCAACAAGAGUAACAUCGUACAAAUCUUGUCCCCAUUUUUCUGAGAUUUUAAUUUCUACUACAGUUGCUGGUGGAGCUGCGCUUGUGCCGUUGCAUGCGACUUGGCCAGAGCCACAGUCUGCAGUUUCACAAGAGAAUUUUCCAGCGGCAUCUGUGGAGCAUCUGGUUCGGCCCCAGAAGCGACCGGACCAUGGGGAUGGAGCGUCCACUGACCGGUUAGCUUUGGAUGCUAAUUCGAACCCGGUGAGUGAUAAUUGAGGUUUUUGGUCACCGGUUAGGGUUCCUGGCCAGACAGUGUUGGGGCAGUUGUUUGUGAAAGUGAUUUUGGCUGCAUGUGCACCUGAAUUUAUAUUCAACAUAAAACUAGAUGUAAGAAUAUUGAAAUCUAAAUACAAUUGUAAAAUAUAUCAAAUUAGAAAUAAAUAAAGGGUAAUGCUAGCGAGACUAAAUUUGUUGGCAAAAUUUGUAAAUUAAAUGAUGUGUCACUAAUAUGAAUCAACACGUUUAUUAACGCUUAAGUAAUAAACCAAUCAUCAACUUCCAUGUUCUUUAGUUCCAAAAUUUUGUCUACAAAUUUAGUCUCCCUAGCAUUCCCCAUAAAUAAAUAACUGAUUUGAAAUCAUUUUAAGAACUUUUUCAUAACUAAUUAGUAAUUUUAUUAUAAAUAUACUUUGAUGAUGAUUUAUCUAUUCUCAUGAUCUCAUCACUGCAUUGGCCGGCUCACUUUUAUGUAUCCGCAUUACUCAUCAUCGAUCGUUAUUCUCUUUUAGACUCCUUACCGUCGCUUUUAACGUUGUUACAAUGUAAAGCGUAAUAAGGGUAAUAUUGUAAACAAGUCUACUCAAGAUCGUUGAGUUUGUUAUAAAGUAGUUGUAACAGUUUUGUAAUUACUUAGUGAUUAGUUAGACAAGAUAUAAUUAGUUGUUAAUACAAGUGAGUUAGUCACUAGUAUAUAUACACCAACAUGUAAUCUUAUUCCUUAUUUCUCGCCCGUGCCUAACGAGCUUUCGAUCCUCCCUUCUUCCGCUUCCCGCUUGUCUUCCUCUUUGAAGCUCCAAACCCUAAAAAUCCAACCAUGGCGACCCCUGGAUCUCCCUCCUUUAAAUCUGUUUCUCAAAUUCAUCAUGCUCCUAUGAAUUCUUGCCCUAAUUCCUCAACUCCUUAGGCAAUUUCUUCGAUUACGAUCCAGAAUAUUAGAUCUAUGGUUCCAAUUAAGCUCACCACAAUGAACUAUCUCACAUGAAGUGCAUUGUUUGCUUCGAUCUUUCGCCGAUAUAAUCUCACUGGAAUUAUUGACGGCACGAUGACUGCUCCGCCCAAAUUUCUUCUUGAUUCGUUUGGAAAUCGCACCUCUACUCUUAAUCCUCAGUAUGUGACAUGGUUUGAAAAUGAUCAAAACAUUUUGAUCUGGAUCAUUUCUACACUCUCAAAUUCCCUCAUCCCAUACACUGUUGGAGUCAACCCUUCUCUAAUAUUUGCAUCCGGCAGGCAUGCAUAUUAUAGACUAAUACGAAACAAAAUAGAAAAAAAAUUAAUAAGAAGUUUGUAUAAUAAUACCUGAGAAGAAGAGGAUGGCCAUGGUGAGGCCGAGAAGGGAAGCUACUUGGCUCUUCAUCAUCGUCGUUGAAUAUAUCUUAAUUGCCUGCUUGUUGCUAAUUAGCUUGAACUUAUGAUUUCAUGAUAAACUUAGGUGCCAAGCCAAGGGGGGCUGUACAUAGGCUUGUAGCUUGCCCAACCUGUCUGAUCUUUUGCAUGAGUAGUAAUUGCGGGUCUAAGUUCAACGCUGACUAUUAAAACGAACGCGCAAACUAAUAAAGUAAUAAUAAAUAGACAAGGAAUAGUAUUUGGUCUUGGACUGGUUUAGGUAUCAUCAUUGACCUACAAUGACUAACAAAUUCAGUUUUAAUCCGUAAAACUAACCACCGUUUAAUAAUUAAUUCGUUUUUUUAUUUUUAUUUUUAUAUUUUUGUGUUAAAAAUAGGAAAAAAAAAAACAUAGAAGAAAUGAGGGAUAUAGAAAGAAGGGGAUGAUGAGAGACAUACUUUCUUUAAUGGGAGUAUAACGUAUUGUCACGUAGUUUUAAUCACUGAUCCCAUACCAUGUAAAUGGUUUGUCGACACAUUUUCAUAUAAUGAUAAAAUGAAUGAACAAAAUAGAGUUAUAUUCAAAUGAUAUGGAUAAUGAGUUGAGUUGAUUGAUCAUACAGUUUGGUUAACUAACUAGUACUAAGAUUUAGUAAUAUUUUUCUCUAAUUGAGAGAUCUUAUAUUCGAAUGAUAUGGAUAACGAGCACAUAUUGUAUUUGUUUCAGUCCAAUACGUAAUUAGUAUCUGACCCAAUGUAUGAUCUAACCCAAUACCAAUUUCCAUUUUAAAGUAGAAUAUAUCGUUGUUACAGCUGUUUGAUUGGCAGUGCAUGCCUACUAGUUAAUCAACAUGAUCCAUAAGUUACGCAUCCUAUAUGAGUGAUGGCGAAGCCAGAACAAGAGAAUUGAUAAAGUGCCAUGGGAGAUCAACUAGAAGGUUGACCAGUAGUCGCAUGAUUUUGAAUUUGGACAAACAAGCCACACAGAUAACUGAGGUUGCGCCAUGUGUAUAGACUUGAAGCGUGAUAGACUGGGCGGGCUGCCGUGAAGGACGGGAGAAAUAAUAUAUAUGUACAUAUGAAAAGUUAAAAGAAGCAAACCUCCCGAUGGUUGAUCAAAACAUAUGGAACAAUCUUCGGCAAAGCAUCAGCAAGGAUCUGAAUGGUCUCUAGGCCCGGUAAAAUAUAAGCAUAACUUUAGAAAAGGAAUAGAAGGGAAAGGCAGUUCCAAAGCUUCUAAAAAAUCAUUCUAUGUUCUAUUAUUCAAAAUUUAGAUGGGUAUCCCAUCCAAAACGAAAAGAAAAAGGGAUGUGCCACCGUAGAUAUCAAAAGAAGAGCCAACCCUGGAAGAAAAAAAAACAUGUCUAAUCCGGUCCUCCUAUAAAGGCAUUGAUGCAAUAAAAGAAAUGUAGAAGAAACUUGCCAUUUGUUGGAUAUUUGUCAACAAUCUGUGAUAAUUUAUAUAUGCUAAUAAAUAAUAAAUGCAAUAAGAAUUAACAGAAUAUAAACUAGAAUACGAAUUAUAAAAACAGACAACUUGAAGAUCGAGGCUUGUGUACCGCAAUGUCCUUGAAACAGAAAUUUCGUUCCUACUCUGUGUUUGUAGUUCUAUGGACGUCUGCUUUACCAGGAUUCAACGAUCAAGUUAAAAUUCCAGCAUCGAAAAUUUUAACUUCUGGCGAAUUUAGUGUGGUUCUCUCAGUAAGAAGGUUUAGGAAUGUAGAGGAUAAAGUUGAUUAUUUUCUGUGUUCUAAAUGCCAUGCAAAUGGAUGUAUAUAUAGCAGAUGGAUGCCUGUUUGCAACAGGUAUGAGAAUGGAGUGUGACUGUUGGGAGACAUCUCUUCAAAGGGAUGCUUUGCUCUGUGUUCAGAAAGAACUCUCAGACUUCAUCUGAAAUGAUGAGUCUUUUCAUAAAAAAUAAUUAAUUAAUUAAAUUCGAAUUUAAUUAAAAUAUUUAAUUAAAUCCGAAAAAUAAUUAAUUAAAUAAUUUAAUUAUUAGAGCCCGAGUUCAAGGCCCAUCUUUUGAUAAUUAAUUAUAUAUUAAUUACUAAUUAAUUAAUACACCCCAAAGCCUAUAUUAAUUACCAAUUAAUUAAUACAUCCCAAAGCUCAACUUCAAAGGUGAGCCCAAUUUUAGUCUCCAGAUCUAUUACUCCAAUCACUUUUUAUAAAAGACAAAACCUUAUAAAGUGAUAAAAUCUUUUAGGAAUGACCAAUGUGAGACAAAGAAAUUUUUACUCAAACUACUCAAAGUUCCAACAAUACCCCACAUUUGAGUUGAAAUUUCAUUCAAACUCCAACACCCUUUUCUCGGAAACAUUUUCAGGACUAAGAUUCUCUGACGUUAGAUGUAGGCUCCUGCCUAAUGAUGGUUCAUCAUUUUGUUUGGAGACGCUAUCACCAGUCACCAAGGUACUACUAUGACUUAAAACACCGACAGAGACCUCAUGUGAAACUUCCUUCGGUUCAACUGUGUUAUCAUGAAAACUUUGAGCAGCCAGAGACUGAUCUUCCUUUUCCACAACUCUCGAUUCUACAUCAACUGGUGGGAUUACACUUUUAUCUUCAUCGACGGCAAUGACCUUUUCUUCCAUUUGCACAGACUCUUUUUCAAAAUUGGUGGUCUCUGAAAAAUCAUGAGCUUUUGUGGUUUUGGAUUUUAAACUUUCUAGUUCCAUCUGCAAUGAUAUAAUUUCUUCCUUAUCUUUCCAAGGACAGAGAUUGGAUUUGAUCAGCAUCAGCACCUCCCAUAUUCCUUCCAGAACGAUAUACAAUGCAGUGACUUCAGCUCUACAAUCAUUGAGCUCCUUUCUCUGGUGUUCCAACUUCCACCAAACUGAUCACGUACGAAGCUAUUUAGGUUGUAGUUGAAAAAGGGCCUAAGGGCCUAACAACCAUAGUUUAGGCAACCAUGCUGUUGCACUAACCACCAUAGUUUAUAGUUCAACAGUCGCCAUAUUAAAGCCUCUUUUGAUAUCUAAAAUUAUAUCGAAAUGGAUACACCGCUAAAUUUAGGUAAAAAUUUAUAUCCACCUAAAAUGUAAAAGAUCAAUUACUCAUAAAGAAAACUUAUGAGUUUCAAUCUCUCCAUAAUGUAGGAUUACAAAGAUGAAUUUCCUUCAUAACUAAUCCUCUCUAAUUCCCUCCAAAUAAAAAAUAUAACUACAGUUUCAGCAUCUUGCCGCAUAAGCAAGCAGGAUUGGCCAAGCUUAGCUAAGCACCAUCCAAAGAAAGUAAACUACAAAUAAUACGAAGUGACUACAAAUCCUAGCAAACACAACCCAAAUUCACAUAGAUCAGCAAAUCCCAAUUACAUUUAGCGUCCUUCAUUAAUCAUUGUCAUUGUAGCGUCAUUAUUCGAAGGCUGUGGUUGAGGAUGAGAGACUGAGUUUUGGAUUGUGAAUAGAGGCUGUUUAGGUUGUGGACCACCAAUUACAUUUGUGGAACCAUUUAGCAUAAAAAUUACAUCCGGCAUGCUCGGCCUAUCCGUCGGAUUGUCCUGUACACAAAGCAGCCCUAUAUGCACACAUUUCAUUACUUCUGGAGCCGAAUAUGAAUCAGCCGCCAACAUUUCAUCUACCAACUCCAAUUCCCUGCCUUCCUUCCAUAACUGCCAUGCAUAGGCUAGUAAGCCUAGCUGUCGAUCAUAGAUAAAGAAGGCAGUAUUCUUCUUGCUGCUAAUAAUCUCCAAUACCAAGACCCCAAAGCUAUAGACAUCAGAUUUUUGAGAAAAUAUUCCACCCAUGGCAUACUCUGGAGAUAUAUAUCCACUGCGCGAACAUGAAACUCAUUAGUAUAUAUAUCGCUGAAAUAAGUGCUUGGUUUCUGCCUUUUAAGAACAACAUUACCAAAACUAUAUCUAAUGUGAACGAUGCAACUAAUUAGCAGUUUUUAUCCAAAACAGGAGUCGGUUAAGAGUUCAUGAAUCAUGAUGCAAUGCUAACCAUUAGAACUUUGGUUGCGUAUGACAUGUUCAAGAAUAUAUAGGAAAGGCAUGAAUCUUACCGCGUUCCCACAAUUCUCUGAGUAUUUUCUAAAUUCUGUGUCCCUUCAACCACACGUGCCAAUCCAAAAUCUGAAAUUUUUGGGUUCAUUUUCUCAUCCAAGAGAAUGUUGCUCACUUUUAGAUCUCUAUGUAUUACCUUCAAAUAGGAAUCAUGAUGGAGAUAAACAAGCCCUCUAGCAACACCUUGAAUAAUAUUGAAACGUGUACCCCAAUCAAGCACUGCUCUUCUCGUCGAAUCUGAUCAUCAAAUAAUCAAUCAAUACACCGGCUAGAAUGUAAAGAUAAGAAACUGCAGUAAAGUGCAAGUGAAACUAACCGAAAAGAAAAGUAUCCAAGCUUUUGUUUGGCAUGAACUCAUAAAUCAGUAACUUCUCGUCCUCUUUAACGCAGCAACCCAUGAUUCUGACAAGAUUUUUGUGUUGGAGAUUGGAGAUCAACAACAUUUCAUUCUUGAACUCUACUACACCUUGUCCUGAGGUACUGGAUAGUCUUUUUACCGCUAUUUCCUUCCCUUCUGCUAGCUUACCCUACACAAAGUCGACAAAUGAAUCACUGCAUUCAUGUCUGGCUCUCUGUAUCUAUCAUAAAAAUAAGGGUAAAUUACACAAAACUACCACAAUUAUAGGUUGCACCACAAUUUCAUACUUCAUAUUUUAAACGUUACAAUGUCAUACCUCAUCUUACGAAUUAAUUGCAAUGUUAAACCUCCAUUAACCACUCUUUCAAAUUAACCGUUGAUAACGUGGCAAAUAUAGGACCCAUAUCUUACUGACGUGGCAGUCAAUUGUGCCACUUAGAUAAAUACUAAAUUAUAAAAUUAAUUAUUUUAAAAUGAACAUAAAUUUUUAAUCAAAAAAAUAUAUAAAAAGAGUGGGUCCACCCCUUCAAUCCUACCACCCAUCUGAUGCUGCGCUGCUUCUAAAUCACCAUCUCUCCCCACCCUCCGCCGCCUAUGGGAGGCAAAGGCAAAGGGAAAAACAAAGGGGAUUGCAGCAGAUGCGAGGGAACUCGUCAGGGUUGGUGGACGCCCAGGUAUCGAUGUCGUCGGAGCCGAUGUAGGUGCAGCGUCGCCAGACCCAGCGCAUACAGCCCAACACCAUCACCGACAACGCUUUUUGACUGAUGUUGGGUUUUUGCCAGAAUUAAAGAUCGAAGAUUUUUGAAAUGAAAAUUGCAGAGUCUUCCUUGAUAGAGAGAGAUGGAGAAGAGAAGAAUGGGGGAAGAGAGAGAAAGUAGGAGAGGAAAGGGAAGAAGUUUAACAGGAUGAGGAUGAAAGGGACUGUGCACAUUUCGCUCGUAUCUUCUGCAAUCAUAUCAUCCUAAACCAAAUCCAAAAAAUCAUACCAUCCCCAACCAAACCCAGAAAAUCACCGAACAGACCAUAUCAAAGUUUUCUGAAAAAGAACAAGAAAAUCACCCAAAAAAAACAAAGAGAAGUUCAAAAAAAUACAUAAAAGAGGGAUAACAUGCGCUCCAUUAAAGAGAAGCAAAAAAAUCAAAUACCAUCCCAUUUCAAACCCAAACCCAUAAAUCUAUUUCCAAGUUCCAAACCAAAUAAGGCCAACAAAAAUAUCAAAUCAGUCCACAUCCCCACCCUCCCAUGUCUCCUCCACAUUUUCUUUCCAGCCAAUUUCGCCCUCACCUCACUCUCUUCCCGGCCCACCACUCAUAGAUCCGACCCACCCACCACGGCAUGAGGGGAUUUCACGGGGUAUGGGGUUUCAAUGACAGUGGAAACGGAGAGAAAGAAGAAGGCGCGCGGGAGGUGGAGUGGUCGAAGGUGGGGAUCGAGGGUGUCGGAGUGAAAGUGGAAACGAAGGUGGGGAUGUAGGGCCAAAUUGAUUUUUUCUUUUUUUUUUUAAUAAAUUUCUUAUUAGUUUCAAAUACUAUAAAUAAUAACAAUUUUUUAUUAGUUUCUUGUUCUCUUGGCACCAACUUAAUAUCCAUAUCAGCAAAAAUAUGUGCCUUAGAAUUAAUAUGUCAGCAUUUAACAGAAAAAUUGACAAAAAAGUUGACGGAUAGCUGAAAUUACAAUGAAUACGAAGUUGAUGUAUAACAUUGCAAUGUUUAAAAAAUAAGAUAUAAGUUUGUUAUGUGACUCAAAGUUAAAGGAGUACAAUGUAAUUUAUCCUAAAAAUAAUAAUAAUAGUAAUUACCUUAUAAACUGGACCAAAUCCUCCUUGCCCAAGUUUGUUUUCUGUGCUGAAAUUGUCCGUAGCAACUAAUAUGGUUUCAAAAUCAUAGAUCAGUAGCUCAUCAUGUUUUCCUCCUAUAUAUUCUUGUAGGGUGUCCCUUGUUAAUUUGAUUUCUCCUGAUUUUGCAAAUAUAAAUAUCGAACAAUGAAUCCAAGUGAAACAACUAACAAAGUUUUGAGAGAUAAUAUGCUAAUGCAUUAUAUUAAUCCAACACCUCGAUCUCUUUCACUUAAUUACCUUUUUGCUUAGCUCUCAUCCUGCACAAACCGAACACUAUGGCACCCAAUACACCGAUAAAACAAACAACUGUAAGGCUCACAAUUAACUUUAUUGGCUUUCCUUUACCUGAAAAAUUUACACUACAAAAACAAGCAUGAGAUAUAUAGAAAAAGAAAAGUUACUGCUUGAUAAUUAGAGUUUUCCAAGGCUUCAAGCACUUUUGAACAAGAAAAAAAGGCUUCAAGCACUAGUAUCAUUAGUUCAUCUGCUAGUUCUGUGCGUGCUAGGCCAAUAUAAACCUCUACGCCGUCAGAGGGAAACUCCUGCAUAUGAAUGAGGUGUUUGGACCAGACCAAACACCUUGUUUUAUAAAAAAAUGCAUAUGCUUGGUAAGAACAAUUAUUUAGGCGCACUGUCUUGCAGUCGGCGGAUGUGCUGUCAGAAUCCAAAGACACAAACUCAUGAGAAUCUGGUACUUUGAACCCUACCAGCUUCAGAAACCCAUCAUCAUCAUCUUCUUUUCCUCUCAAUGUGACUGACUUAUUUGUCUCUCUCACAAAACAAUUUGGUUUCACUCACACACCCUCCCGUCCAGUUUCCUCUGCUCCAUUUCCCGUCUGACUUGGGUACAAACAUGUUGAAUCCCACAUCGGCUAGAGGGAAAGAAGAAAAGCAAUUUAAAUAAAAUUACCCCACUCUAGCUAAUACUGAGGCUUUUUGUGAUAAAUUUCACACCUGACGGAUUGGGCAAGUGGUAAAGUGGGAACAGUAUCAGUGUUGGUAGAGUGAGGCCCUUGGCCAGUCGAAUUAAAGAAUUCAACAUGGUAUAAGAGCCAAGGGACGGGCUUGUACCACCACGUGAUUGGGUGGGUUCCCAUUGACCCCGUGCGAUGGGGGAGUCCUGACUUGGCUCCACGUGGUUGUCGAUGUGUGGAUCUCCACGUGUGACCCACAAAAUGGGGUCUCACGCGCUGAGAUGUGUUGAAUCCCACAUUGGCCAGAGGGAAAGAAAAAAAACAAUUUAAAUAGAAUUAGCCCACUCUAACUAAUAUGCACCUGAUGGAUUGGACAUGUGGUAAAGUGGUGACGGUGUUGGUGGAGUGGGGCCCUCGGUCCGCCAACCUGAAAAAUUCAACAAAAGCCUUUCAAGCACUUCAACAAAAUGGGGUCUCACGUGUGGGGGCGUGUUAAAUCCCACAUCGGCUAGAGAGAGGGAAAGAAGAAAAACAAUUUAAAUAGAAUUAGCCCACUCUAGCUAAUACUAAGGCCUUUUGUGAUAAAACUUCGCACCUGAUGAAUUGGGCAUGUUGUAAACUGGGGACGGUGUUGGUGAAGUGGAACCCUCGGCCAGUCGACCUGAAAAAUUCAACAAAACCCUUUCAAGCACUUGCAGAUUGAUGAUCCAGAAGCUUUGCAAACUCCAAAAGGUCCACAGCUCCAUAAUUGUCACAUUCUUUAUAUUGUGGUUGGGAGUAGACAUACCAUCUAGGCAGAAUAUAAUGACGUAGUCAGGUUCGCCACUACAGGUGAAUGUGCUGUUUUUAUCAUCAUAAGCGUAGCUAUAAGCUUGAGGGCACUGCUUCUCAAAGAUCUCAGAGUACUCAGUGGGAGGACAUGUCCUCGGCUGAUCAUUCGGCGGAGUGCAGCAGUACUUCGGCUCGCCGUAUGCCACACAAGCGCUUUUGCAACUGAUGACACUCUUAUCAGCCGCUUUCACUUGUAACUCAGUCGGGCAUGCCGCGUUAACAUUCGCAGGGCAAGUCGAGGCCAUGCACUCGCCGGUGCCGCCUUGUGGGGCGACAAAUAUGGGCAAGUUAAAACCGUCAACAAGGCUAACAUCGUAAAAAUCUUGACCCCCAUUUUCUGCGAUUGUGAUUUCUACUAAAGUUGCUGGUGGAACUGGGGUUGUGCCGUUGCAUGCAACCUGGCCAGAGCCACAGUCUGCAGUUUCACAACUGAAUUUUCCAGCGGCAUUUGUGGCGCAUCUGGUUCGGGCCCAGAAACGACCAGACCAAGAGGAUGGAACGUUCACUGACCGGCUAAUUUUGGAUGCUAGUUCGAACCCGGUGAGUGAUAAUUGAGGUUUUUGGUUACCGGUUACGGUUCCUGGCCAGACAGUGUUGGGGCAGUUGUUUGUGAAAGUGAUUUUCGCUGCAUGUGCACCUGCAUUUAUAUUCAACAUAAAACUAGAUGCUAAGAAUAUUGAAAUCUAAAUACAAUUGUAAAAUAUAUCAAAUUAAAAAUAAAUAAAGGGUAAUGGUAGGGAGACAAAAUUUAUAAACUAAAUGAUGUGUCACCAAUAUGAAUGAACACGUUUAUUAACGCUUAAGUAAUACACCAAUCAUCAACUUCCAUGUCCUUUAGUUUCCAAAAUUUUGUCUACAAAUUUAGUCUCCCCAGCAUUACCCAUAAAUAAAUAAACGAUUUGAAAUCAUAUUAAGAACUUUUUCAUAACUAAUCAGUAAUUUUAUUAUGGGAGACUUUGUAUGCGGUCCUUAGUUAUGAAUAUUCUUUGAUUGAAAUCUUGUUGGUUUUUAAUUUUUGAUCGAGGUCCUUGAAAAUAAUGUGAUAAUUUAUUUCAAUGUACGUUACUAUAUUUUUUAAAUUAAAAAUUAGAAAUUUUAGUUGUUUAUAUAAAUGAGAUUUUAAAUAAAAAAACAUAAUUUGUGGGAUUAAAAAUAUUAAAAUAUAAAUAUACUAUUGUGUGUGUGUAUAUAUAUACAUGGGUACAUUCAUCAAAAAAUAACCAAAAAAUUUAUUGUAUCAAAAUAUGGGUACAUUCUUCAAAAUCACAAAAAAAAGAAAAGAUAUUAGGCUUAAUAACAUUGGUAAAUUUCUUCGAUUAAACUUGACAUGGAUACAUUUUAAAAUUAAAGAAAAAAGAAUGUACCCAUAUAAGUUUAAAAAUAGAUUAUAAAAAAAAUUGAAUAGAUUUUAUAUAUAAAAAAAAGGGUACAUUUUGCAUAUAACAAAUUGAUAUAUUUAAGAAUGAGUACAUUUUAAGAUUAAAAAGUUUUACAUGAAUGGGUGCAUAUAAUUAGCAUGGGUACAUUUAGCAAAAUAAAAAGUACAGAUAAAAAAAAUAUAUGGGUACAAAUUAAAACUGAAAAGAAAAUUGGCACAAGUUAAAAAAGAAUUACAAAUUAAAAAUGGGUACAAACUAAAACUAAAAAUAUAUGAUAAAAAAUUUAGUCAUAAAUAUAAAUAUACUAAUUGUAACAUUUUUAACAUUAAAUGAAUAUAUUUAGAAAUAAAAAACUAUUUUAUUAUUGAAAUAAUUAAUGAUGUUAUUAAUACCCAAGGACCUUGAUCAAAAAUUAAAAAGUAAUAGGAUUUUAAUCAAUGGAGUAGCAAAAGGAAUGAUGAGAACUUAAUUUCUCUUUUUAUUAUAAAUAUAAUUUGAUGAUGAUUCAUCUAAUCUCAUGCCCUCAUCACCGCAUUGGCAGGGCUCACUUCCAUGUAUCCACAUUGCUCAUCAUCGAUCGUUAUUCUCUUUUAGACUCCCUACUGUUGCUUUUAACGUUGUUACAAUGUAAAGCGUAAUAAGGGUAAUAUUGUAAACAAAUCUACGCAGGACAGUUGAGAUUGUUAUAAGGCAGUUCUAACAGUUUUUGUAAUUAGUUAGUGAUUAGUUAGACAAGAUGUAAUUAGUUGUUAAUACAAGUGAGUUAGUCACUAGUAUAUAUACAACAUGUAAUCUUAUUCCUUAUGAAAUGAAAGCAUAAUUUUCCUAUUAUGGUAUCUCUCGCCCGUGCCUAACGACCUUUCUAUCCUCCUUUCUUCCGCUUCCCACUUGUCUUCCUCUUUGAAGCUCCAAACCUUAGAAAUCCAGCCAUGGCGACCUCUGGAUCUCCCUCCUUUGAAUCUGCUUCUCAAAUUCAUCAUGCUCCUAUGAAUUCUUGCCCUAAUACUCCUCAGGCAAUUUCUUCGAUUACGAUCCAGAAUAUUUGAUCUAUGGAUCUAAUUAAGCUCACCACAACGAACUAUCUCACACGAAGUGUAAAACGUGAGUCAAUAUUCACGGAAAGGAAAAAAAGGAAUGUAAAUAGGGUAAAUAUUGGGAGUCCUUUACUAGGUAGGAUAUUGUAUAUACCCUUUAUUAUUUGUUUCCUUAUAUAUCAAGGAUUGUAUAUGUAUAUAUUUCAAAAGAAGUAAUACAAGAAAUCAUUCCCGUAAGAUUCUUUUUGGCAUCUGAGCCUGGUUGUCGUAACCCUAAUCGUAAAAGGUUUUCCGCUGCUACUCUUUCUGCAAGAGUCGUAUCUGCUCUUGCCGUGGACAGUCGUGAAAGUUUCAGGGGCUGUUUUUUUGCCUCUCAUUGUGCUGUGCCAAAUUCUUUUGCUGCUGCCGUGACUUUCAUUCUUGUUUGUAAGUCAAGAUGGCGAAUAAAGGAGAUGAUUCAAUCUUAAAGUUGGAAGGUGGUUCCCACAAACCAACCAACAAUACGGUAUUGAGUCCUGUUGUUAUUCAGAACGAUGCAUCUGCUGUACCGAGCACUGUGAAGUUGAAUGGACAAAUUAUCUUCUUUGGUCCAAAGUAUUGGAGAUCCAUAUUGUUGGACGUGGUAGAAAUGGCUUUGUGACAGGGAAUACUAAGGAACCUGCUGAGGAUAAUGUUGAGUAUGAGAUGUGGGAGACAGGGAAUGCAAUAGUAAAAGGGUGGUUGAUUAAUUCCAUGGAACCUGCUAUCAUGGGAUUUUUUAUUCACCUGCGUACUGCUAAAGAAGUUUGGGAGGAGGUGGCUCGGACCUAUUAUGAUGGUUCAGAUAUCUCUCAAAUUUAUGAAUUGAAGGUUAAGUCGUUCAGGCUUCGUCAAGAGAGUAGGCCGGUUGGUGUGUAUUAUGCUGACCUCAAGUCCGUUUGGCAGGAGCUAGAUCAACGAAGACCAAUUAAGAUGGAUUGUGCUGCUGAUUUUAAGACACUUCGAGAAGAAAUUCAAAUUGAUCGUGUGUAUGCUUUUUUGGCGGGUUUGGAUGACAUCUUUGAUAAAGUACGCAGUGAUAUUCUACGUACUCAACUGUUACCAUCUGUCAAGGAAGUGUUUUCUAUUGUUAGGCGUGAAGCACAACGACAUGCCACUAUGAUGGGUGGGAGUAACAACCAAGGGGGGCUGCCAUCCAUGGCCAUGGUCUCUCGACCACUUGCAACUUCCCGUCCUAAUAAUUCUUCUAAUCAGUCUUUUAAUUCUCGUUCCUUUACCCGAGAAAACAAAGAUGAUUUGAAGUGUACUUUAUGUGGUCAAAACCGCCAUACUGAAGAUACAUGUUUUACCAAGCAUGGGGUACCUGAUUGGUUUCCAAAAUUUAAGAAAAAAUUGUGUGCCAAGGAACGUGGAGCAGCUGGGUCCAGUGGAGGCCGUGCCUCCCUUGCCGCAGCAAUACCAACAUCACAGGAGGCCGGGGCUAGCUCAGGUGAUCCUAGUCAAACUUUGUUGACUCGUGCUACUCCUGGUGAUUCGUCCUCCAACACAAGUACUAUAGGACGUGUCCUCUUAGUCUCCGAGAGUGAGCAACAUACAGGUUGGAUUCUUGAUUCUGGUGCAACCGAUCAUAUGACAUAUGAUAAAAAUAUGUUUCAAUAUAUGACAAUGUCUCACAGGAAAAGCAUAGCAACUGCCAAUGGGACUCUUUGUACCCGUGUAUGGCACCGGCACUGUGCAACUUUCCCCAUCUCUCCCAUUACAUUGUUGCUUAUUUGUUCCGUCUUUAUCCCAUCAUUUAUUAUCAAUACCACAAGUUACUGAACAAUUGGAUUGUGUUGUUCUAAUGUAUCCGUCCUUUUGUCUACUUCAGGAUAUUCAGACCAAGGAGAUAAUUGGGCGUGGCACUAAGAGAAAGGGGUUGUACUAUGUGGAUGACGUUGUUCCAGGCAGGGCUAAUGCGGUUCGAACAUCACAUACUAGUAAUUUGCAAGAAGUAUGGUUAUUACAUCGUCGGUUAGGGCAUGCAUCUUUUGGCUAUUUACGGCGUAUGUUGCCUAUUCUAUUUAGUAGAAUAAAUGAAUCAGACUUACAUUGUGAAGUAUGUAUUCUUGCUCAAAGCCAUCGUGCUUCGUUUCCUCCUAGUAUAAAUAAAAGGUCUUUGCCAUUUGAACUUGUGCACUCUGAUGUUUGGGGGCCUUCUCCAGUUGUUGUUUCUUCUGGAUUAAAAUGGUUUGUUGCAUUUGUUGAUGAUUGCACUCGAAUGACUUGGCUGUAUGUGUUGAAAAAUAAAAGUGAUGUUGGUAUGGUCUUUCGUUCUUUCUCUCAUCUGAUUCGGACACAAUAUUCAUCUGUGAUUAAAGUACUACGUUCUGACAAUGGUGGUGAGUACAUUAAUUUUGAGUUGUCAGAGUUUCUUCGUGAUCACGGCAUCGUCCAUGAAACGACUUGUCCUUAUACCCCACAACAAAAUGGGGUUGCUGAACGGAAAAACCGCCAAAUCUUAGAAACAACACGUGCUCUUAUGCUUGGAGCUUCUGUUCCUAAGGUUUUUUGGCCUGAAGCUGUCACUUAUGCUGUAUAUGUGAUUAACCGUAUGCCAUCUCGGGUUCUGGAAUUUCAAACACCUUUUCAAGUCCUCACUCAACAUGCUCCAGUAGUGUCGACUCAUACUCUCACUCCUCGAGUAUUUGGGUGUGUAGCUUAUGUGCAUAUUCAGAAAAUUCAUCGUACAAAGUUGGAUCCGUGUGCCCUAUGGUGUGUGUUUGUGGGUUUCUCCCCUAACCAAAAAGGCUAUAAAUGUUAUCACCCUGAGACUCGGCAUAUGUAUGUAACCAUGGAUGUGACUUUUUCAGAAUUGGAGUCUUUUUAUCCUUCCGUGCAUUUAUCUUCAGAUCACCAGGGGGAGAACACUAUUGGUGAUCUGGGGUGGUUAGACACUAUUUCAGAUAAUAUUAGCAUCGAAUCUGCUACUGAACUGGUUUCUGCUAAUAAACCAGAUUUUGCCGAGAGUACUGAUAUUGAAGUUGCAGCCGAGCAUCAGGUGGUGGUUCCUACCGAGGAAUCUAAUAUAUAGGAAUCUGCCGAACAGCCAAGACAGAGUUCUGCAGAUCACAGUAUACAAUUGCAACAGUCACAUGCCGAGUCUACUAAUGUACUUUCUCCUCUCUCUAGCUCCAAAGUGCCACCCAAUUCAUCUUCUUUGAAUAUACCUGAGGUAAGUAUUGUGAAUGAUUAUGAAAUUAAUUCAAGUGAUAAUGUAAAUGCUUAUAGGUUGCCACCAAGACAAAAUCGAGGUGUGCCACAUGAUAGAUUUUCUCUAGAAGGGAAGGUGAGGUAUCCAAUAGCCAACUAUGUCUCAUGUAGUGGCCUUGCACCGGAACGCCAAACCUUGGUGAACAAUAUGGAGUCAAUUCAAAUACCAACUCGAGUGGAGGAAGCUCUAAAGGAUCCAAAGUGGGCAAAAGCAAUGGAUGAGGAAAUGUUGGCAUUACAAAAAAAUGAUACUUGGGAGGUGAUGUGUUUACCCAAGGGAAAAAGGACUGUUGGAUGUCAGUGGGUGUUUACAAUCAAAUACAAAGCCGAUGGAUCGAUAGACAGGUACAAAGCAAGGUUGGUAGCUAAAGGGUACACUCAAACAUAUGGUGUAGAUUACCAAGAAACUUUCUCUCCGGUUGCCAAGAUGAAUACGGUAUGUGUUUUGAUUUCUUUAGUUGCAAAUAUGGACUGGCCAUUAAAACAGUUUGAUGUGAAAAAUGCUUUUCUCCAUGGAAAUUUGGAGGAAGAAGUAUAUAUGGAUUUUCCUCCUAGGUAUAGUGCUUAUGGGAAUACCAGAGUAUGUCGGUUGCGUAAGUCACUUUAUGGACUUAAGCAAUCACCUCGUGCGUGGUUUGACAGGUUUACCCAAGUUAUGAAAAAACAUGGGUAUCGUCAGAGUCAUUCUGAUCACACAUUGUUUGUUAAACGGAGACAAAGUAAAGUGACAGCCUUGAUUAUCUAUGUAGAUGACAUGAUUAUUACUGGAGAUGAUCAUGAUGAGAUUUUAAGGUUGUAGAAUAAUCUGGCAGCAGAGUUCGAAAUGAAAAACCUAGGAGACUUGAAGUAUUUCCUUGGGGUUGAAGUUGCUCGAUCUUCAAAAGGUAUUUUCUUGUCUCAACGUAAGUAUGUUCUGGAUUUAUUAAAAGAAAUUGGUAUGCUAGGGUGUAAGCCGGUAGACACUCCGAUUGUUGAAAAGCAUCAUCUAUGUUUGGAUCCAAAUCAGAAAUCAGUUGAUAAAGGGAGAUAUCGGAGACUUGUAGGGAGACUAAUUUAUUUGGCUCAUACACGUCCAGAUAUUGCCUAUGUUGUAAGUGUGGUAAGUCAAUUUAUGCAUUCACCGAGUGUGGAUCAUAUGACUGCUGUUAUGCGUAUCUUAGCAUAUUUGAAGUUUGCACCAGGUAAAGGAGUUCUGUAUAGGAAGCACGGGCAUUUGACAAUUGAGGGAUUCACGGAUGCUGAUUGGGCAGGGAAUGUCAGUGAUAAAAGGUCUACUUCUGGGUAUUUUACUUUCGUAGGAGGGAAUUUGGUUACAUGGCGAAGUAAGAAAUAGAAGGUAGUAUCACGAUCUUCAGCAGAGGCUGAGUAUAGGGGCAUGGCCCACGACAUUUGUGAAAUUCUUUGGCUUAGAAAACUUCUUUAGGGUCUUGGGUUCAAGCCAAAGGAGACCAUGAAGCUAUAUUGUGAUAACAAGUCAGCAAGAAAUAUAGCUGAUAAUCCAGUGCAGCAUGAUAGAACAAAACAUGUGGAGGUUGAUCGAUAUUUCAUUAAAGAGAAGCUCGAGAAGAAGAUUGUGUCUAUACCAUUUGUGAAUUCGGAGGAGCAACUUGCAGAUGUUCUUACUCAUGCCGUAUGUAGUCGUAAGUUUGAUGACUCACUUAUCAAGUUGGGCAUGUGUGACAUCUAUGCACCAACUUGAAGGGGAGUGUAAAACGUGAGUCAAUAUUCACGGAAAGGAAAAAAAGGAAUGUAAAUAGGGUAAAUAUUGGGAGUCCUUUACUAGGUAGGAUAUUGUAUAUACCCUUUAUUAUUUGUUUCCUUAUAGAUCAAAGAUUGUAUAUGUAUAUAUUUCAAAAGAAGUAAUACAAGAAAUCAUUCCCGUAAGAUUCUUUUUGAAGUGCAUUGUUUGCUUCUAUCUUCCGCCGAUACAAUCUCAUUGGAAUUAUUGACGGCACGAUGACUGCUCCGCCCAAAUCUCUUCUUGAUUCGUCUGGAAAUCGUACCUCUACUCUUAAUCCUCAGUAUGUGACAUGGUUCGAAAAUGAUCCUAACAUUUUGAUUUGGAUCAAUUCUACACUCUCAAAUUCUCACAUUCCAUACACUGUUGGAGUCAACACCUCUCUAAUAUUUGCAUCCGGCAGGCAUGCAUAUUAUAGACUAAUACGAAACAAAAUAGAAAAGAAAUUAAUAAGAAGUUUGUAUAAUAAUACCUGAGAAGAAGAGGAUGGCCAUGGUGAGGCCGAGAAGGGAAUCGACUUGGCUCUUCAUCAUCGUCGUUGAAUAUAUCUUAAUUGCCUGCUUGUUGCUAAUUAGUUUGAACUUAUGAUUUCAUGAUAAACUUAGGAGCCAAGGGGGGCUGUACAUAGGCUUAUAGCGUGGCCCAACCUGUUUGAUCUUUUGCAUGAGUGGUAAUUGCGGGUCUAAGUUCGACGCUGACUAUUAAUACGAACGCGCAAACUAAUAAAGUAAUAAUAAAUAGACAAGGAAUAGUAUUUGGUCUUGGACUGGUUUAGGUAUCAUCAUUGACCUACAAUGACUAACAAAUUCAGUUUUAAUCCGUAAAAAUUUUUAUUUUUUUAUUUUUGUGUUAAAAAUAGGAAAAAAAAAACACAUAGAAGAAUGAGGGAUAUAGAAAGAAGGGGAUGAUGAGAGACAUACUUUAUUUAAUGGGAGUAUAACGUAUUGUCACACAGUUUUAAAUUUAAUCACUGAUCCAAUACCUUGUAAAUGGUUUGCCGACACAUUUUCAUAUAAUGAUAAAGUGAAUGAACAAAAUAGAGUUAUAUUCGAAUGAUAUGGAUAAUGAGUUGAGUUGAUUGAUCAUACAGUCUGGUUAACUAACUAGUACUAAAGCUUAGUAAUAUUUUUCUUUAAUUGAGAGAUCUUAUAUUCGAAUGAUAUGAAUAACGAGGGCGCAUUGUAUUUAUUUGAGUCCAAUAUGUAAUUAGUGGCUGACCCGAUGUAUGGUCUAACCCAAUACCAAUUUCCAUUUUAAAGUAGAAUAUAUCGUAGUUACAGCUGUUUGAUGGCAGUGCAUGCCUACUAGUUAAUCAACAUGAUCCAUAAGUCACGCAUCCUAUAUGAGUGAUGGCGAAGCCAGAACAUGAGAAUUGAUAAAGUGCCAUGGGAGAUCAACUAGAAGGUUGACUAGUUGUCGCAGGAUUUUGAAUUUGGACAAACAAGCCACACAGAUAACUGAGGUUGUGCCAUGUGUGUAGACUUGUAGCGUGAUAGACUGGGCGGGCUGCCGUGAAGGACGGGAUAAAUAAAUUUUUUUACCACUUAUAUAAAAUCUCGUUACGUAUCACUCUUGUUUUGAUCAUGAUGAAUAAUUUCCCGUGAAGGAAAUGGAACAAGCACUAGAAGACUUAAGUUGUCAUCUUCGAUUUUCCUCAUCCCAUCCAUUUUUAAUAGUGAAACUUGGUAUUACGAUAUAAUGGUAUUCCUCUUAUCAGUGAGAGGUCUUAGAUUCGAUUUUCAUCAAAAGAGGAUUUCAACCUGUUGACCCUAGAAACUACAAAGCCUACGUGGCGCGCAGGCCGAGUAAUCUAUAAGCUAACUACGUUCUUCGGUGAUUGCAGGGUGUGCCAACUCGUCGGCCGAGCUCGGCCGAUGAGUAAAUUUGUUGAUGUUGCGUUGGGUGCGCGGCUGACCUCUGCAACUUGCGAUUGCGGCCGAGAAAGGAACACGUCUCGGCCUCUUGGGCUCUCGAACCUGAAGACAAGGUUCCUAUUUUUACGAAGUUCAAUAUCAAAUUCGGUUUUCAACGUGCCGAAUGUAAUCACUUGUAACACAUCACUUCGCCGAGAAGGCUGAUGAGAUGACCUUGACCAACAAGGAUUCAGAAAUCCUUCUCGACCGAGACUUGGAUAGGUAAUCAAUCGUUCUCGCUGUAGUGUUGUUGAUGCCAACGGAAGAUACUGCGAGACCGACUGAUUCUACGGUGACAGAGCUAUCUAUGCCGACUUAAGAUAUCACCGGUUUCUUCCACAGUGCUGUUGAUGCCAACGGAAGAUGUGUCAGCGAACAAGGAAAAAGAAAAAUCACAAGUUGUGAGAAUUUGCGCAGGGCAAUUUUGUAUUGAUUUGCAGGGGUCCUUGAACGUUGCCUGCGACUCUGUAUUUAUAGUGACGAAUAUGCAUUGGUUGAUAAGCUGAAAAAGACUCCCAAACAAUUAAAACUCAUCUUAUCGAAUCCAAGAUAAUCUGCAAGCUUGGGUAACGUCCAUCUAAUCAACCACCCAAUAUAUAUAUAUAUAUAUAUAUAAAAAAAAGGUUGCACCUUUCCCAUGAAUUGGCAGACCUCAUGUCGUCAAUUAUAUAUAUAUAUAUAUAUAUAAAAGGUUGCACCUAAACCCUAUAUAUAUAUAUAUAAAAGGUUGCACCUUUCCCAUGAAUUGGCAGACCUCAUGUCGUCAAUUAUAUAUAUAUGGCUGAUAGCUUUUGACACGGCAUACAUGCCAUGUCCAUCAUCAAUUUACUUCAUCCGACAACACCCCUUAGGUCUCCUACCUCAUCCUCACCUCAUCCACAAUAGCCAUCAUCAUUCUGAUCAAACGAAUUUUAAAUUCAUCUUACUUCCUAGUGCUGACAGUGUUCCAAAUCAAUUUGAAUUGUACUGCUUAUUCGGGAUAUGAAUCGCAUUCUAUUUAUCUGGUUUAAGAAGAUACUGAGAUAAUUCAUAUUAAAAGAUAAUUAUAAUAUUAUCCUUUAAUAAUCAAAUUAUCUCUACUUUCUCAUCUAGCGGUCGAGAAUCAUGCCCACUCAACAGCCUCGAUCGCUUGGGCCGAUGAUGUAAAAUCGGGUCCAAACAUUGCCCCCCAGUUUCCUUGAGCUUCGGCUCGAAAGCCAGAUGGUCAAGGAAAUUAAUUGUCAACAUGACUUGAAACUAAGCAGAAUUCCCCACCUGCAACCACACAUUCAUAGGCUGAAGCUUAUUUACCCUUCUUCACGGCAAUGGCAUCCUUAUGUCAGCUAACUUUAUAUAUAUAUACAUAUAUAUAUAUAUACACACACACACAUGGCAAGCCGAAUGACCCUUUUUUUUUUUUUUUUUUUGCAUGGUCAAUUCGGCCAGAAGUUGCCUAGUCAAUUCGGCCAAAAGCUGCAUAUAUAUAUAUAUAUAUAUAUGUAUAUAAGUUUCGGCCGAGGCUUUGUUUGAUAAUGGGGCCGAGGCCGAGGCUUUUGUAAAGUAGCCGAGGCCGAGGCCAAAUCCGAGAAAAUUUUUUCUUUGUUUCUUUUUCCUUCUCGGCUAACUAAUAUAUAUAUAUAUAUAUAUAUAUAUAUUUGGAUUGCCGUACUGUUGUUGCCCCCCUUAUUUUCUUGGCAUCGGCUGAACAACCGAAUGGUUAAGAAAAUAAGUUAUUUAUUUAAUAAAAGAAAACAAAAGUGGCCGAACUAUAAAGUGGAGGGGGCCAACGAUGCUUUAUUCCGAGUCGAGAUCUUUUUGCAUCAAAAUUUUCAAAUUGAUUUCGCUCUGGGCCGAAUAAAGAAUUUUUCCCGAAUAUUUUUUACUCGGCAAAACAUUUUGCAUUUUCGUCCGCCGAAUGUGUGGAACAAUUAUUAUGCCCCUCAGGCAUAAUUUCGGCUUUUAAUUCAAACAACUUAGCCGAACAGGAUUUCUCCAAUUCGACUUUGUCGCCAAUAAUCAUAUCAAUUGGCGUAGUUUCUUGGGCUAGGCCAAUAUCUCGGCCUUGUUCGUCAUUGGAGCAUUCCUUUGACAAAUCAUUUUCCAAGUCAAUUUUUGUAUCUAGCUCAGGGACUUGAAUUUUUUCUUCUAGGCCUACCAUACUUUCAAUAUCGACCGAAACAACAAGUGGCCUAGGUUUUUCUUCGGCCGUCUCGACAAUUUUCUUAGGCCGAAUGUUGAUUGUGGCCGGAGUGGAAAUUUGCCCCCCGGCCUCUUGCUUUUUAGGAAUUCUUCUCAAACUCUCAAGGAGUUGUUUUUGCUUCUUUAAUAGGAGAUGACACUCUUCCCAUGAAGCCUGAUCGAGAUAAAUCAUGUGAACUUCGCAGUUUUAGCACUAGGUCCCACUGGGCGUGCCAAAAUGUUGACCCUAGAAACUACAAAGCUUACGUGGCGCGCAGGCCGAGUAAUCUAUAAGCUAACUACGUCCUUCGGUGAUUGCGGGGCGUGCCAACUCGUCGGCCGAGCUCGGCCGAGGAGUAAAUUUGUUGAUGUUGCGUUGGGUCGGCUGACCUCUGCGUCUUGCGAUUGCGGCCGAGAAAGGAACACGUCUCGGCCUCUUGGGCUUUCGAACCUGAAGACAAGGUUACUAUUAUUACGAAGUUCAAUAUCAAAUUCGGCUUUCAACGUGCCGAAUGUAAUCACUUGUAACACCUCACUUCGCCGAGAAGGCUGAUGAGAUGACCUCGACCAACAAGGAUUCAGAAAUCCUUCUCGACCGAGACUUGGAUAGGUAAUCAAUCGUUCUCGCUGCAGUGCUGUUGAUGUCAACGGAAGAUACUGCGAGAUCGACUGAUUCUACGGUGACAGAGCUAUCUAUGCCGACUUAAAAUAUCACCGGUUGCUUCCACAGUGCUGUUGAUGCCAACGGAAGAUGUGUCAGCGAACAAGGAAAAAGAAAAAUCACAAGUUGUGAGAAUUUGCGCAGGGCAAUUUUGUAUUGAUUUGCAGGGGUCCUUGAACGUUGCCUGCGACUCUGUAUUUAUAGUGACAAAUACGCAUUGGUUGUUAAGCUGAAAAAGACUCCCAAACAAUUAAAACUCAUCUUAUCGAAUCCAAGAUAAUCUGCAAGCUUGGGUAACGUCCCUCUAAUCAACCACCCAUAUAUAUAUAUAUAUAUAUAUAUAUAUAUAUAUAAAAGGUUGCACCUUUCCCAUGAAUUGGCAGACCUCAUGUCGUCAAUUAUAUAUAUAUAUAUAUAUAAAAGGUUGCACGUUUCCCAUGAAUUGGCAGACCUCAUGUCGUCAAUUAUAUAUAUAUAUAUGGCUGAUAGCUUUUGACACGGCAUACAUGCCAUGUCCAUCAUCAAUUUACUUCAUCCGACAACACCCCUUAGGUCUCCUACCUCAUCCUCACCUCAUCCACAAUAGCCAUCGUCAUUCUGAUCAAACGAAUUUUAAAUUCAUCUUACUUCCCAGUGCUGACAGUGUUCCAAAUCAAUUCGAAUUGUACUGCUUAUUCGGGAUAUGAAUCGCAUUCUAUUUAUCUGGUUUAAGAAGAUACCGGGAUAAUUCAUAUUAAAAGAUAAUUAUAAUAUUAUCCUUUAAUAAUCAAAUUAUCUCUACUUUCUCAUCUAGCGGUCGAGAAUCAUGCCCACUCCACGGCCUCGAUCGCUUGGGCCGAUGAUGUAAAAUCGGGUCCAAACAGAACCUUAUUAUUGUUAGUCAAUUGUGAGGCUAAACCGACUCUCUUCACUUAAUGUAAACAAUAUAAUUUGUUAAAAAUAAAUAAAUAAAAAAUAAAAAAAAGUAGCAACUUAGUCACUAUGUGACUUGGUCUGCAAAGGAAUUUUUUUUUUAAUUUUUUUCUUCAAACGGUCUGCAAAGUUAGUACAUAUUAUUCAUACCCUAUUACAGUUUUAUCUAAUUUUGUUUAAAUUUGUUUAGUAUUAAAAUUUUUAAGAUUGAAGGUUUUAGGGAUGACAUAUCAAGUCUUUCUCAUAAAUUCUACAAAUUAAUUUGACUUUUUGACAUUUUUCACUUCAUUAAAAAAGGUAAAUUGUCUCUCAUAUAUAAAGAGUGUUCCUACGCUUACUCCUCAAUGCUAUCUUUUCACCCACCUUAUAUUCUUACCCACCAUAAAAAAUUAAAAGCAUAUAAUACUCUCUUUACACCCACAAUUAUUCCUAGAAUGUCCUUGAUACAUUUUUCAACUAUUUUCCUACAAAAAAACAAAAAUUGAAAUUCAAAACCACGCCACCCGAUCCAAUCCGAUGGCAACCCCCUUCCCAUCUCUAGCCAACUUUUUCUCUCUGGAAAUUUGGAGGAAGAGAGGGCCUUGACAUGGCCCAUUUCAAUGGGAACGAGGAAAAUGAGAGACAUUCUCAGUCGAAUCGAUCGUCGUUUUCGGACUGGUAAAGACGAUUUGGGUUAAUUAAGGUUGAGUUUGUUUAUUAGUGGGUUCAAUUAAGAUGGAGAAAAGAAAAGACUAAGUUAGGGAUGAGACACCAAAACGGUGGAUGAUGGUUGCCGUCAUAUUGGAUGGGGUGGGUGUGGCUCUUCGCUUUCCUUCUAAUUUUCAAUUUUUGUCUUGUUUUUUCUUCUACUUUUAACAGAAGCAGCAACUAGAGCUAGUGUGUUGAUUGCAUCCACCAUUUUUUUUCAUAGCUUCUCAUAUCUUUUUCCUCAAAUCUCUCUUUGCUUUUUGGGACUUCUCCUCCAUAUUAAAGAUAACAAUGUUUUUUUUAAAUUGGAAACAAAAUGUUGAAUUUAUGUUAUUGGCCAUAAAAAAAUAUAAUAAUUAAUUUUGUUAGGAUUUCAAAAGUCGUUUUACAAAAGGUUAAAUAUGUCAUUAAAAUUUUCAAUAAUAAGUGGGUGGGAAAAUAAGGUUGAGGGGUGGGUAUAUUAUCAAAUUUCAAUUUGUAGGGAACAAAUUCCACAUGUCCGUAGAAUUACUUGAUAAAUUAGACCUGGCCAUACCGGUUUGGUGAUACUGGAUUUGUGAUUCAAUUGAAGAUAUACUUAUAUUAUGUAGUUUCAUUUUUAAUUACAGUCAGUUUUUUUCUAUUUUAAUUAUAAAACCCUCACCCCCUAUCAUAUUGUGUACGUUAUAAAAUGAAGAUUGAGAGACUAUAUGUAUGUAGUUAUUAGUAAGCCGUUAACUCGUCCUCUCAAACUUUCAUUGUAUUGCUUUUGUAACAUGCAUAUAUUGUAGAAUUAUAAAAGAGACGGGCUUCACUACUAACAACACUGAUAUUGUCCCUUAUUUGAUAAUUACCAUCAGCAUAAUCUGUCAGGUGUGAGUUUUAUCACAAAAAAUAUCGAUAUUAAUUGGAGUGGAGUUAAGAUAUUUAAACAUUUAUUUUUUAUUUUUAAAGAUAUGAUCCAUGUGAAAUAUUUCAACAUAUAUACUAAGCAAUAAAAUAAGAAGAAAAUGUAGAUUAUGCUUUAUGCGGUCGUAUGGUUUGGCAUGCAAAGAUGUGGAAGCUUAUAAUCCCCUUCGAUUUCUAAGACACAUCCGUAGAUCCAAACUUACAAAAUCUGUAUUAUUUUGUAUUUCAUGCCAAGACUGUCUUUGUAUGUUUUUGUCAUUAAACCUCACAAGUCACAAAAAUUUUCAUUCGGAAUCUUUCUAUUUUCACACUAUUUCGGGGAAGGAAAAAACCACAUUCUGAACAAAAAUAAAACAUGACAAAAGACUUCAAAAACUUUUUAUUGGCGAGUUUGAUAAGUCAUAAGUUAGAGUUUUUUUACUUUUCUUAACGUAUAUAAAUAUAUCGUUGUAUUAAGAAUAUAACCAAAAACUUAACGGAAUUUUUUUUUUGUGUGUGUUCGCGCCGCCCGGGGAAGGGGGGGGGGGGCGUUCACAGUAGAGUAAAGUUGAGCUCUGAAACAUGUACUAACUUAUGCAUAAUGCAGUAGUUUGUAUUGUACCCAAUUAAAAACUAUUUGACAAUGGUCGUAGAACUAAAACCCUUUAAGCAGAGGUGCUUCUUCAAACAAGCAUGAAGCAUGAAGGGAAAUCUAUGAGGAUGUGAAAGGUAAGGUCACACGAUAGAGAAAGAUCAAACUUCGCAAUGACUUAUAAAGAGUUAGAUCACACCUCUUAUUCUGAAUUGAUUUACCGGUAGAAUCUUAACUUCUUCUAGAAUCUCGAAAGCACGACCAAACAAACAUAUGAAUGGAACAUUUGAAAGCACCAGAGCCGAAAGAAUCAAUCUAAGCUCUAGCGCCAGAGUCUUAAAAGCCAAAAUUAGCUAACACAUUUGUAGUUAAGUUCGCUUCACCAUACAAACGCAUUAUAUAUAUGCUGAUGAGUGAUGACAAAAUAGAAUACAGAUGCCUGCAAUGCAUAUAAAGCACUACUCAUAUUAAUUAAUCUAUAUGGCCCUAAGUGAGAACUACGUACUAUUCAGUAUCUCAAAGAAAACCAAGAAUUAACUUUGAAGGCAAGUGGCAGAUUGUCUUAGAGCAUUCUCUUCAAUUUACUACGUUUCGGAUUUAAACUCUCUUACCUUUUAGUUUAGAUGAAUCUAAUGUAAAUUAUUCCAUCAUUUGGCGAAAUUUUUUGAAGAAGCAUAUGACCAGAUUUUUUAAAUUAGAUGGUCGGAUUUUGUCAUUAUUAUCCAUGGAUAGUGCUAGAUGUAGACCAUUUUUUACUUCUCAUACAUCUCUCAAGUUUUAUUUGUCGGAUUGAAUUAAAGAAGAUCAAUGACAAUAAGGGUGUGUAAGAAAUAAAAUUGAGCAUGUGGAUUGCACUUUCCUUACCCAAAUGAGUGGUCCGAGUCUGAUCCAACUAAAAAAAUCUGUGAGUAUUUAACGGAGUCGGGCAAGAAGAAGUAAUGCAUUAUCUGCCGAAUAAAAAGAACAUGUUGGUAAAAACUAUGAUACCGUUAUCCCUAAUUUUCUUAAUUCAAUUAUUAUGAAUAAUAAAUUCAGUACCAAUUAAUAAGACAUACUUAUUAUGUGGCUUAACUCAAAUUUUAUCCCUUAAUAUAAAUAUUUUAUUGUAUCAAAGAAAAUUAAGUUUUUUCAGCACUUGAAAUCACUAUUUCACGAAUUGAUUUUGCAAUUUCUCCUCACAAAAACAUUAGAAGUGUUGUAUAACUUAACUAAUCAUUUUAGCAUUUGAGGUUGAAUGUUCUAAGAGGUUAUAACUUAGUUAGUUAAGAACAUUCACCUCUACACAGGAGAUCUUAAGUUUGAUUUGCCCUUGUCAAUACUUCUACAAAAAAUAGUCAAUCAUGUAUCUGAUUUAGGAAUUUCUACUUUAUAUUACUCCUAAAAUAAAAAGUUUAUUUGAUACUAGCAGAUGAGCACACACUCUGUGUGUGUGAACAAUUGCCUACCUCCUCCCACGUUCUCCUCAAGCCCAACCGCUUCAGUUAAUUCAAACUAUCCAAAAAACAUCAUGAUUUCACUUAAUUGUAUGAAAAAAUGAUGUGGGACAAUUUCUCUUAAUAAGUGCAUAUUUUUUUAUCUUAUGUAAAUAUUUCGAUACAAAUUUACUAUUUUUCCAUCCUUAUGUAAAUAUUGUGUAUCAAAAGCGAGGGCAAAAUAGGAAAAAAAAGGGGAAAUCAAAAGAUACAAAAUUACUAUUUUUCCAUCCUCAUGUCAUCAUUGUGUAUUCAAAAGUGAGGGCAAAUUGGAAGAAAAUGGGGCAAAAAGUUGACAAGCCAUCUUUUCUUAAUAGAAUAACUAGCAUAUGGGCACACACAAAGUAUGAGAAAAUUUUUUAUUUUUGUUUUUGAAAUAGAAGGAGAGAGGAAGAGAGUGAUAGAGAAUGUGGGAGUAGGAAGUUUUUAAUUUUUUUUAAUUUUUAAUUUUUUUAAUUAGAGAUAUGUUAGAAUUACAUGUAAGUGAGACGUUGAAAAAAAAGCAAAAUUUGGCUGUAAAAUUACAUUUCUAUUCCAUAUUUCUUAUUCAUGUUUUGUUUUAAUUAGAUGAUUAAACUGAUAAUUUCAAAGUAUUUUGAUUGACAAUGAAUAUUUUAUUAAUUAGUAGAUAUGUAUGAUUUCAAAAUCCGACCCAUAUCUCAUUUUAGUUUAAAUAAAAUUAAAAAGAAGUUGUGAAGUAAAGAAAAUUUGAAAGCACAUUCAAAAUGAGGGAAGAAAAGACUAAAACAGAUGGGUGGCGGAUGGCGGUAGUUCCAAUAUCAGCCAAUCAUCAGGAGUUGGAUUGAGGACAGAACCAAAGCCAGACCAUCCUCUUUUAUCUUUCUUCCCUCUUUAAAUCGGAAUAAAAUUAAAACUGUCAGACAAAUAUCAAAGUUCUCUCUCUUUCUUUGUUUGUCUGCCUGUCUGCAAGCAAUCGCAGCCCCUCCCAUGCAUUUGAAUUAAGAAAAACUAAUGAAAAUAACUUGAAAACUUUGAGUUUUAACUAUAAGAAUAAAAUAAAAGAACCAUGUUUGACUUUUUAGUGUAAAAAUGUGGUUUUUCAUUAAAGUGAACAGUACCGUUGGUUUUUCGUUAAAACUUUAUCUCAAUUAUUUAUAAGGAAAACUAAUGAAAAAGACUUGAAAACUUUGAGUUUUAACUAUAAGGAUAAAAUAAAAGGAAAACUAAUGAAAAUGGUUUGAAAACUUUGAGUUUUAAUGAUAAGGACAAAAUAAAGGGUAAAGUGAAUAGUACCAGGAUUGACUUUUUAGUGUAAAAAUGUGGUUUUUCGUUAAAGUGAACAGUGCCAGGUGCUUUUCAUUAAAGUUCCCUAAAAUAAAGGGUAAAGUGAAUAGUAUCAUGUUUGACUUUUUAGUGUAAAAAUGUGGUUUUUCGUUAAAUGAACAGUACCGCAGACUUUUCAUUAAAACUCCCUUAUUUGUAAGUUUUUUAAUUCCUAAUCUCAUGCUCUUUCUAAGACUAGAAGAAAUAUAAAAGUAUAUAUUAUAUACUGUUAUAAAUAUGUCAAAGUUAGAGAGAUAACCUUUUUAGUAAAUGAUGGAGCAAAGCAGGUGUAAAAUGUCACAUUGAAAUUAUAGCACUAGGGGAUGACAAAUAAAAGAGGGAGGAAUAGAUGAUGUUAUUGAGCUUUCUUUCUUUCUGUAUGCUUUCCCUGUAUAUACAUCGAUGGCAGUAAGAGUGCUCUAUUUAUAGAGCGAAUCCAUACGAACAAAUUCUUAAAGUUUGAAAUUUACAACUCAUAGCUUUGACAAUACAACAUUUUGUUUCCAAAGUCUUCAUCAUAUUUGUGUGGGUAUUGACAAAGAACUUAUGUGGGCAUUCAUUAGAUAGUCGCUGGUUUCAUCAGCUAAUGUUUUCAACUGCCAAUAUUGACUGUCAAUGGUUUCAACACUCCAUCUUAGAUGCCCACAUAUCAACAUCAGUUGCCUCGUUAAAACCUUGCUUAGAAAAACCCAGUGGGAAAAAUCUAAUCGAAGGAAAAAGAGUACAACAAACAUGUAUCAUGGAUACUCCCCCUAAUAUAUAUCUCUCCUUGAUUCCGCAUUCUCCAAAUUGAGUUGUUUGGUAAGUCGAAGUAAUCCAAUAUUUUACACUAACUUUUGAAACGUGCACUUUGGUAGAGAUUUGGUGAACAAAUCUGCCAGAUUUUUAUUAGAACAUAUUUGUCUUACUUCAAUAACUUUAACCUUCUGAAGCUCAUGUGUACUGAAAAACUUUAGAGAUAUGUGUUUAGUUUUAUUGCCCUUGAAGAAUCCUUCAUUCAUAUGGGCAACACAGGCUGCAUUAUCUUCAUGAAUGAUAGUUGGAUUGUCUGUCUUCAAAGUUAGACCACAUGAAUUCCGGAUAUGAUGGAUCAUUGAUCUUAACCAAGAACAUUCACGACUUGCUUCAUGUAAAGCAAGUAUUUCUGAAUGAUUUGAAGAUGUAGCAACUAAUGUUUGCUUUGUUGAGCGCCAAGAGAUUGCUGUAUCUCUAUUCUUGAACACAUAUCCAGUUUGUGAGCGGGCUUUAUGCGGAUCAGAGAGGAAACCAACAUCUGCAUAUCCAACAAGGACCUGGUCAUUUGUUGAGUUCUUUGAGUAGAAGAGACCCAUAUCUGUUGUCCCACGAAGGUAUCACAAUACAUCUUUGACACCCUUCCAAUGACAGAUUGUUGGAGCAAAGCUAUACCUGGCUAACAAGUUGAAAAAGCUAUAUCUGGUCUUGUCCAUUGUGCUAAAUACAACAAAGUUCCUACUGCACUCAGAUAUGGUACUUCUGGACCAAUGACCAUUUCAUCAUCUUCUUUUGGACGGAAUGAAUCUUUCUUAAUGUCCAGAGAACGAACGACCAUUGGCGUGCUGAGUGGAUAAGCCUUGUCCAUACCAAAACGCUUCAGGAAUUUUUUCAAUGUAAGUUGAUUGGUGGACCAAAAUUCCACUAACACAAUACUCGAUCUGCAGGCCGAGACAAAAUUUUGUUUUUCCAAGGUCUUUCAUUUCAAAUUCGUUUUUCAGAUAUUCAGCAGUUUCAUUGAGCUCUUCAGGAGUUCCAACUAGGUUCAUAUCAUCAACAUAUACUGCCACUAUAGCAAAUCCAGAAUUGGAUUUCUUAAUGAACACACAAGGGCAAAUGAUAUUAUUGAUGUAUCCUUCUUUGGUCAAAUACUCACUGAGAUGAUUAUACCAUAUUCGUCCAGAUUAUUUUAGCCUAUACAAUGAUCGCCUUAAUUGAUCGAAAGCAUAUCUCGUGGUUUGUUAGCUGUUUCAGGCGACUUAAGUCCUUCUAGGACUUUCAUAUAUAUGUUAGUAUCUAAUUCUCCAUAUAGAUAUGCAGUGAUGACAUCCAUAAGUCGCAUGUCAAGCUUUUCUGAAACCACUAAACUUAUUAAGUAACGAAACGUAAUUGCGUCCAUUACACUAGAGUAUGUCUCCACAUAAUCAAUUCCAGGUCUUUGUGAAAAACCUUGUGCAACGAGUCGUGCUUUAUAUCUUGCAAUCUCGUUUUUCUCAUUGCGUUUCCUUGUGAAUACCCAUUUGUAACCCACGGGGUUUACACCAGGUGGGGUUUGGACUACAGGUCCAAAAACACUUCACAUUUCCAAGGAAUUUAAUUCUGCCUGGAUUGCAUCUUUCCACUUAGGCCAAUCUUGUCUCUGUUUACAUUCAUCAAUAGAGCGGGGCUCAAGAUCAUCACUUAAUAUGAUUUUAGUGGCUACUGCGAAUGCAAGCAUAUCGUCAAUGAUUAUUUCAUUUCGAUCCCAUAAUUCAUUAGUACAUGCAUAAUUUAUGGAGAUUUCUUUGCUUUCAUGUACUUCUAUCUCUUCAGGAAUAUGUGUCUUAUGAAGGACAUUUUCUUUUUCUGGUAGUCCAGAAUCAUGAAUUGUGGAUUUAUCAUCCAUUUUCUCUUCCUGAAUGAUUUCAUUUAGAUUUAGAUGUGCCUUUGUCUUUCUCUUGCGAGGGGCUGAAUCUUUUGAACUUGGGGGUCUACCACGCUUCAGGCGUGCACCAGAUAAAUCAUUCGCUACCACUUUAUUUUGUCCAACAGGAACAUCAAUUUUUGCUGGUGCAUUUGCAGCUCGUAUAUGUGAUUUUGUCACUUUCAUAGCAUCAUUAAAUGCAUCUGGCAUGUGAUUGGCAAUGCUUUGAAGAUGAACGAUCAUUUUUACUUCAUUUUCACAUUGCAUGCUUCGAGUAUCAAAAUGAGACAAGGUGGGAACAACCCAUGUCAACUCUUUCCGUUCUUCUGGAACGGUAUUUUCUCCCUCUAAUGACAGGAAGACUGUCUUUUCAAAGUGAUAAUCAGCAAAAUGAGCUGUAAACAUAUCACAUGUCAAGGGUUCCAAAUAUUUAAUGAUAGAUGGUGAAUCAAAACCCACAUAAAUUCCCAGUCUACGCUGAGGUCCCAUUUUAGUGCGUUGCGGAGGUGCAAUAGGCACAUAAACAGCACAACCAAAAACUCGUAAAUGUGAAAUGUUUGGCUGAUGCCCAAACACGAGUUGUACUGAGGAGUGUUGGUGGUUAGAAAUAGGUCUCAAUCGAACUAAUGAUGCAGCAUGUAAGAUGGCAUGUCCCCAUGCAGAAACUGGCAAUUUGGUUUUCAUAAGCAGAGUGCAAGCUAUCAACUGCAAUCACUUGAUCAAUACUUCUGCCAAACCAUUUUGAGUAUGGACAUGAGGAACGGGGUGUUCAACAUCGAUGCCUAAUGUCAUGUAGUAAUCAUCAAAGGUUUGAGACGUAAAUUCACCAGUGUUAUCAAGUCGGAUUGACUUAAUGGGAUAAUCUGGGAAUUGUGCUCGUAACUUAGUUAUCUGAGCAAGAAGUCUCGCAAAAGCUACAUUCCGAGUAGACAACAGACAAACAUGUGACCAUCUGGUAAAUGUAUCAAUCAAAACCAUAAAAUAUCGAAAUGGUCCACAAGAUGGUUGAAUAGGUCCACAAAUAUCCCUUUGAAUUCUUUGCAGAAAUGAUGGGGAUUCAACAUCAACCUUUAGUUGUGAUGGUCUAAUUACUAACUUCCCUUGAGAACAAGCCUUGAAAGGGUUAUCAUUUGAGAUAACAAUGUCUCUGCUCAAUAAUGGAUGUCCAUUAGAGUUGGUAAUGAUCCUACGCAUCAUGGUGGAUCCUGGAUAACCCAGAUGGUCAUGCUAAAGCAUGUAAACUUUUGAAUCAAUGAACUUCUAGUUCAUGACAGUAUGUGAUUCAACUGUCUUUAUGUAUGUAUAAUACAAUCCACUCGACAAACCAUGCAACUUCUCCAAUAUACGCUUAUGGGUAUCAUUGGAGGUAAUGCAUAGAUACUCCACAUUUUCUGCACUUUUUGUUUCAAUGUGGUAUCCAUUUAAAUGUAUGUCUUUGAAACUCAACAAGUUUCAAGUAGAUCGAGUAGCGUACAACGCAUUCUGUAUGGAUAAUAUUGUUCCAUUUGGUAACAUAAUCUGGGCUUUCCCUCAGCCUUUAAUCACAUCUGAUUGGCCUGAUAUUGUUGUUACCUUUACUUUUGUAAACAUCAAGCUUGGGAAAUACUUUCGAUCUCGAAGUAUUGUAUGCGUUGUUACGCAGUCUGCAAGACAGAUAUCUCCACCAUUUCUCAUGUUCUGAGAAUGACCAUAGUUUUUAUCCAUGCUCUUUGAGUAAAGGACUCAGAGUUAAAAGCAAGUUAUAACAAGAAAUUUACAUGCCACUUUUAUUGAAUCUAAAAUGCUAGUUUUACACAACAAGUUCAGCAUAAUAAAAGUACAUCAAACAUAAAUGAUUCAGUCAGACUGGUAUACUUCAUUCCCUCUUUCUAUAAUGAAGUCUGAAACAUCUAGGUGGGUUGUGUCCAAUUGCCCUGAUAAAUCACACACUGGAUCAGGUAUAUCCAUUGGUCUAGCCUGGUCGAGGAAAUUAGCCUUGACACCCUUUUGCCUUGAGGAAGGCUUGAUACAGAUCCACUAGAUAUUUUGGGGUACGACAAGUGCGUGCCCAAUGCCCAUUGCCACCACACCUAUGGCAGGCUCCUUCAGAGUUCCUGGGAGCAUUGGUCAUAUGAGCUUUGCCUUUGUGGCGAUUCAUUUUUUUAAAGCUCAGGCCUGAAUUAUGCCUCAGAACCUGGUUGUGAAACUGACCACCAUGGUUCUUGCCUUUCCUAUUCCAUCGACCUCGCUUGUGGCCACGUCCUCAUUUAUGAUUAUCACCACCAGAGGAUGUGGUGUUCACUUUGGGAAGCAGCAUUCAUUUCUGGGAAUGGUGUAGAUCCAAUAGGUCAGGAAUUAUGGUUUUUCAUCAGGAGCUCAUUGUUCUGUUCAGCUACCAGGAGCACGGAUAUCAGUUGGUUGUAUUCAGUGAAGCCUUGUGCUCUAUAUUGCUGCUGCAUGAGCAAGUUAGAGGCAUGAAAUGUGCUGAAAGUCUUUUCCAGCAACAUUUCCUUAGUAAUACUAUCCCCACAGAGUUUCAUCUGAGAGGUAAUUCUGAACAACGCAAAAUUAUACUCAGCCACUGACUUGAAAUCCUGGAUCUUAGGUGAGUCCAUUCAUAGCGAGCUCUUGGAAGAAUCACCGUUGUCUGGUGAUUGUAUCUUGCCAAAGAGCUAACGGAUCUUCAGCCGUUAAGUACUCACUCUUUAAUGCCUCAUCAAGAUGACGACGAAUAAAAAUCAUAGCCUUCGCCCGCUCUUGAAAGGAUGAGCUGGUCUUUUCCCUGAUGGUAUCUCCAAGAUUCCCUGCUUCCAGAUGGAUCUUGGUAUCCAGUACCCAGGUAAGGUAAUUCUUCCCGGUAAUGUCCAGGGCAGCAUAUUCAAGCUUUGCCAAGUUCGCAAUUUUCUUUUCUGAAAGAAAAAUGAGAUGUGUAAGAACUUGCAAUACUAUGUAUUCCUGGAGGAAUAUAGUGUUAGAACUUAUGGCUCUUACAAAUUUUUCACUUUGAUCUUUAGGCCUAAAUGAUAAGCACUCGAAAGUUCUAGCUCGAGAUUUUUAGGAUGACUAAGGAAGGUGAUUGUACCGCACCAUUCUCAUUAAAAUAAUAUAACAUGUUAUGGGUGAUUAUUCCGUACCACUCAAGUAGCAAGAAAAUUUAAAUAUGUAGAGCAAUGUGGGCGAUUAUACCGCACCACCUAAAAUUACAAUGAAAUUAAACCGCAGGUGUUGAUGCACAAAAUCAGUGAGGACUUUGGUACAACAGAAAGUGUUAAGUUUGUGACCUUCGCUAGAUUGCUCCGGUCACUAGUAUGGACAAGUAUGUAAAUGGAUAGAGACAGGGAAGCAAACACAAGAUGUACGUGGUUCACCCAGAUUGGCUACGUCCACGGAGUAGAGGAGUUCUCAUUAAUUGUGAAAGGUUUACACAAGUACAUAUGUUCAAGCUCUCCUUUAGUGAGUACAAGUGAAUGAUUUAGUACAAUGACAUUAGAAAAUAUUGUGAAAGAAUGAUCUCUAUUUAUAGAAGAGAGCUUCUAGUUUCAUUUUGACAUUGACACGUGUCGUGUUGUGAUUGGUUUCUGAUGUUGACAGUUGUCGAGCUAUGAUUGGCUUCUGAUGUUGACACGUGUCGCGCUGUGAUUGGCCUCCUGGUUGGAGGGAAACUCUUCUGGGUCCUUGACAGUAUAACGUUGACGGUGCUCAGUAGUUUUCGGGAUUGGUCAAGUAUGGUACAAACAGUGCUCCCCUAAGUUCCCGAGUGAGGGAAGCUCUCUCGGUUGGGGACUUGCAAGAUCCAGAGCCAUUGAGUAAUAAUCACGAAACUUCUAAGUACCGAAGUGUGGUCAUUUUCAACUUGCCUUAUCUGUCUCAUAUGUAGAUGUGGCAUCUUCUCUGGAAGUACUUUUCCUCCAUCCAGGGUGGUAUCUUUAACCGAUGAAGAUGCACAAGGUAAUGUAUCAAUUUUCACUUGAAGCUUACUUGUAGUUUCGGGCUUGGUCAAGUGCGAUACAAACCCUAUAGUAGGAGUCCCCCAAGUCGCCGAGCUAGGAGAUUUGCCGAAUGAGGUAACAGACAAGGUAAGCAAUCAGACUUCCAAGCAAGCAACCUGGAUCGGAGGUUCGACUUCGGCUUCCGGUUGAUUGUUCUCCUUCUCCUUGUGUCGUAAAUAGCAACAAGGAUAAGGAGAAGCAAAUGGAGAAGAGAUGAUAUGAGAUACUUUUGCUUUUGAAGAAGUAACUUUCCACAGGCUUAUUCUUGAACUGGGCUGGAGGGUUUUCUGGUUUCCUCCAGAGUAUAAGGCCGACUCAAGAAUUUGAGGGUCAAAACAAGUCCAUCAAAUCUAGAGUACGUUCGACCUUGAUGAUAUGGGAUACUUUUGCUGUUGACAAAGUAGUGGAUGUAUCGGCACGUGUUCUGUUACGCUUGUCUCCACAUGCUUCCUUGUAUCCUUCUCACUUGCCCUAUCUGUUCCUCAGGCAGAUGUGGUAUCUUUCUGGAAGCAUAAGAUGUUGAAGAUGAGUACUCGAGAGCAAUGCCAGGUAAGUAAUCAGGCAAGGGGUUCCAGGCAGUCAGUUCCUGACUGGAAGCUUGAUUCCAAGUGCUGACUGAUUGCUCUCUUUCUCCUUGUCUUGCAGGUAAGAACAAGGCCAAAGGAAAAGACAGGGAAAAAGCAUGAUAUGGAUACUCUUGCUUUUAACCCUGAUGAUAUGAGAUACUCUUGCUCUGGUGUGGCUUGUUUGCAGAGGUAUUAUCGGGAGGAAAAAAAGCUGAGUAUUUCGAGAGACUCUGCUGAGAGUGCCCUCUCGGAUGUGAAGAAAAGUUGAGCAUUUUUUUUUAUUUGCAGGUUUGCCUGGUUGUGGAGGAUGGAGGUCGACAUAUAUAGGAGUCUCCCUAACAACAAGUAGUAGUGCUAUUCCUUUACCUUUCUUGGUCGUAGCAAUGUAGUGGGAGCUGCAAGCUUCACGUUUUUUAACUUUGUCAUAGCACUUUGAAAAAGUGGUAUGUGGUAUUUGGAAGGCUGAUGUUGCGUGUGAAAAUUGCAGACAAGCUUUAUCCAAGGAAAUCUUGCUCUCAAAGUUCAGAGAGCAAUGCCUCUUCGGUUUUCGAACAAGCAAUCCUGUCGGGGAUCUGGCUCUCGAGAUUCGGAGAGCGGUGCCUCUUUGAUUUUUGAGAAAGCAAUCCUGUUGGGAGUCUGGCUCUUGAGAUUUGGAGAGCGGUGCUUCUUCGACUUUUGAGAAAGUAAUAAUGUUGUUGGGAGUCUGGCUCUCGAGAUUCGGAAGGCGGUGCCUCUUCGAUUUUUUAGCAAGUAAUAAUGUUAUUCCUUUACCCUUCUUGGUUAUAGCAAUGUAGUGGGAGCUGCAAGCUUCAUAUGUUUUAACUUUGUUAGAGCGCUUUGAAAAGUGGUAUGUGGUAUCUAGAAAGCUGAUGUUGCGUGUGAAGAUUGCAGACAAGCUUUAUCCAAGGAAAUCUGGCUCUCGAAGUUCGGAGAGCAGUGCCUCUUCGGUUUUCGAACAAGCAAUCCUAUCGGGGAUCUGGCUCUUGAGAUGUAGAGAACGGUGCCUCUUUGAUUUUUGAGAAAGCAAUCCUGUUGGGAGGCUGACUCUUGAGAUUCGGAGAGCAGUGUCUCUUCGAUUUUUGAGAAAGUAAUCAUGUUGGGAGUCUGGCUCUCGAGAUUCGGAGAGUGGUUCCUCUUCGAUUUUUGAGCAAGCAAUCUUGUUGGGAGUGUUUUCUCGAAUAUGAGUAAAGGUUGGGCAUUUUUGCCAGUCUGCCUUGCCACGGAGCACGGAGGUUGACACACAUUGGGACUUUCUAGUUAUCAAGCAGUGGUGCUGUUCCUUUACCCUUGUGGGUAAUAGUAGGGUAGCUGGACCUUCAAAAUUUAUGUGUCUAAACUUUGUCAGAGAUCUUUGGCAAAGUUAUCUGUGGUACCCGAUGAGCUGAUGUUGCGUGUGGAAAGUGGUGCCUCUUCGAAAUCUGGAGAGUGGUGCCUCUUCGAUUUUUGAACCAACGGCCUUGUUGCCCUUUCUUUUAUAAGGGCACCAAUUGUGUGCAAGAAGUACAUUCAGAGAGUUAUUGCUUGUAGGAAUUUUCCCCUUACUUCAGAGAUUUAUUGCACCUCAUUUCUCCUUCAUCAUUUCUGAGAAUGUCUGGCCCAUCCGACCGUCGUUUUGACUUGAACUUUGGUGAAGAGGCAGCCAUGCCUUCUCAAGACAACAUAUGGCGCCCAUCCUUCUUAUCCCCUACUGGUCCUCUUACCGUUGGGGACUCUGUGAUGAAGAAUGAUAUGACCGCUGCGGUGGUGGCCAGGAACCUUCUCACUCCCAAAGAUAACAGACUACUUUCCAAACGGUCUGAUGAGUUGGCUGUUAAGGAUUCUCUGGCUCUCAGUGUUCAGUGUGCAGGUUCUGUGUCUAAUAUGGCCCAACGCCUAUUUGCUCGAACCCGCCAAGUUGAAUCAUUGGCGGCUGAAGUGAUAAGUCUCAAACAGGAGAUCAGAGGGCUCAAGCAUGAGAAUAAACAGUUGCACAGGCUCGCACAUGACUAUGCUACAAACAUGAAGAGGAAGCUCGACCAGCUGCAGGAAUCUGAUGGUCAGAUUUUACUUGAUCAUCAGAGGUUUGUGGGUUUGUUCCAAAGGCAUUUAUUGCCUUCGUCUUCUGGGGCUGUACCGCGUAAUGAAGCUCCAAAUGAUCAACCUUCGGUGCCUCCUCCUUCUGGGGUUCUGCCUAGUACUGAGGCUCCGAAUAAUCACCCUCUGGUGCCUCCUCUUUCUGGGGCUCUGCCGACUGCUGAGACUUCUCCUGAGCAACCUUUGUGAAGGCUCCCUCUUGUUUGUUUAUUUUGAUUCAUGUGUAUAUGUACAUAUUUGUAACUUAUCGGAGAUAUCAAUAAACAAGCUUUGCUUCAUUUCAACGUAUUGUGUUAAAUACACCAAGGCCUUCUUCACUAAGUUCUUUGAAUUUUUUCCUUUUGUUGAAUCUUGUAUGUUGAAACUUUGUGAGUGAAGCAUGUAGGUUGAGGUAGUGCUUCCUUAAUUUCCCGAGUGAGGAAAACUUUUCGUUUGGAGACUUGAAAUAUCCAAGUCACUGAGUGGUCGUGAGACUUCCGAGUAUCAAGGUGCAGUAGCAUAUGGUAGGAGUCCCCUAAGUCUCCGGUUGAGGCAUUUCCUUUCUAAGUGGUAGCCCAAAACUCCUUCAUAUAUAUUUGUUAUGAAAGUUGUUAGGCCCAAAGAAGAGGAGGCCUAGGCAAUUUAUUUAUUUUUUUUGGUUUUUUUUUUCGAAAUUUCGAAUUUUUGAAUUUUUGAAUUUUUGAAUUUUCGAAUUUCUGAAAAGAAAAAAAAUAUAUAUAUUUUAAAGCUUUGUAGGUGAAGCUUUGGUGUUGAAGCUUUGUAGGUGAAGCUUUGAGGUUGAAGCUUUGUUGGGCACCAUGAAUUGAUUUUGCUUCACACUAUCUUGAUCAAGAUUGUGUGAAGCUUUUGUAGGUGAAGCUUUUGUGUUGAAGUUUUGUAGGUGAAGUUUUUGUGGGUGAAACUUUUGUGGGUCAAGCUUUUGUGGGUCAAGCUUUUGUAGGUCAAGCUUUUGUGGGUCAAGCUUUUGUAGGUGAAGCUUUUGUGGGUCAAACUUUUGUGGGUCAAGCUUUUGUGGGUCAAGCUUUUGUAGGUGAAGCUUUUGUGGGUCAAGCUUUUGUAGGUCAAGCUUUGUUGGGUCAAGCUUUUGUAGGUGAAGCUUUUGUGGGUCAAGCUUUUGUAGGUCAAGCUUUGUUGGGCACCAUGAAUUGAUUUUGCUUCAUAUUAUCUUGAUCAAGAUAGUGUGAAACUUUUGUAGGUGAAGCUUUUGUGUUGAAGUUUUGUAGGUGAAGCUUUUGUGUUGAAGUUUUGUAGGUGAAGCUUUUGUGGGUGAAGCUUUUGUGGGUCAAGUUUUUGUGGGUCAAGCUUUUGUAGGUGAAGCUUUUGUGGGUCAAGCUUUUGUAGGUGAAGUUUUUGUGGGUUAAGCUUUUGUGGGUGAAGCUUUUGUAGGUGAAGCUUUUAUGGAUGAAGCUUUUAUAGGUUAAGCUUUUGUGGGUGAAGCUUUUGUGGGUGAAGCUUUUGUGGGUCAAGCUUUUGUAGGUGAAGCUUUUGUGUUAAAGCUUUUGUUGGGUACCAUGAAUUGAUUUUGCUUCACACUAUCUUGAUCAAGAUAGUGUGAAGCUUUUGAGAAUUUGUAGUUGUCCUCCAUUGAUGAAGCUUUUGUUGGUGAAGCUUUGGAGUUGAAGCUUUUGUUGGGUACCAUGAAUUGAUUUUGCUUCACACUAUCUUGAUCAAGAUAGUGUGAAGCUUUUGAGAAUUAGUUGUUAUCUUCCAUUGAUGAAGCUUUUGUUGGUGAAGCUUUGGAGUUGAAGCUUUUGUUGAAUUUCCCCUUUUUUUUUUUUUUGGGAAACUAGAAAUUUGAAAAUGUGGGAGAGACAACAUAUACAAAUUUUGCUUCCACAUUGUUGAGCAAGAGAUUGUGAUGCAAGCCACACCUUGUAGUAGUCGAAGGUUUGGAUGAACCAUAUAAAUUGAAUUUGCUUCGAACAGUCUUGAAUUUGCUUCGAAGGUUUGAGAAUUGUAGUUGCCCUCCAUUGAUGAAGCUUUUGUUGGCACCAUAAAUUGGUUUUGCUUCACACUGUCUUGAUCAAGAGUGUGUGAAGCUUUUGAGAAUUAUGAUUGCCCUCAUUGAUGAAGCUUUUGUUGGCACCAUAAAUUUGUUUUGCUUCACACUAUCUUGAUCAAGAGUGUGUGAAGCUUUUGAGAAUUGUGGUUGCCCUCCUUUGAUGAAGCUCUUGUUGGCACCAUAAAUUGGUUUUGCUUCACACUGUCUUGAUCAAGAGUGUGUGAAGCUUUUGAGAAUUGUGGUUGCCCUCCAUUGAUGAAGCUCUUGUUGGCACCAUAAAUUGGUUUUGCUUCACACUGUCUUGAUCAAGAGUGUGUGAAGCUUUUGAGAAUUGUGGUUGCCCUCCUUUGAUGAAGCUCUUGUUGGCACCAUAAAUUGGUUUUGCUUCACACUGUCUUGAUCAAGAGUGUGUGAAGCUUUUGAGAAUUGUGGUUGCCCUCCAUUGAUGAAGCUCUUGUUGGCACCAUAAAUUGGUUUUGCUUCACACUGUCUUGAUCAAGAGUGUGUGAAGCUUUCUACGAGUUGUAGUGUUUGCAUUGUUACAGAGGGGAAAUGUUUGAAGCAGAUGCAAGAGGGCUGAAUAGCUUGAUCUUCGUAUGCCAUGCACUGAAGUUGUUGUUGGCUUGCAAUAAGACUUUGUUGGUGACUAUAACUCUUGUUGGGCAUAAGUGAUCCCCUAGUUGAGUUGUCAAGCUUGAGGGUGUUUGAUUAUUUGUGAAUGCUAGGAGUUCACAUGUUCAAGUUGUACCACUCGUCUUCUGGUAGGUGAAAUGAAUGAUGAGUUGCUUUCAUCACUUGGUUGGUGGUACGAAGGUGAGUUCCUUCUUCCCCUGGUUGGUGACAUGAAUGGUAAGUUGCCAAAUGAUAUUAGAGUACGGGUUGUACAUUUCAUCACCUGGUUGGUGGUAUGAAGGAGAGUACAGGUUGUACAUUUCAUCACCUGGUUGGUGGCAUGAAGAUGAGUUCCUUCUUCACCUGGUUGGUGGCAUGAGUGGCAAGUUGCCAAAUGAUAUUAGAGUACGGGUUGUACAUUUCACCACCUGGUUGAUGGCAUGAAGGAGAGUACGGGUUGUACAUUUCAUCACCUGGUUGGUGGCAUGAAUGGCAAGUUGCCAAAUGAUAUUAGAGUACGGGUUGUACAUUUCAUCACCUAGUUGGUGGCAUGAAGAUGAGUUCUUUCUUCACCUGGUUGGUGGCAUGAGUGGCAAGUUGCCAAAUGAUAUUAAAGUACGGGUUGUACAUUUCAUCACCUGAUUGGUGGCAUGAUGGAGAGUACGGGUUGUACAUUUCAUCACCUGGUUGGUGGCAUGAAAAUGAGUUCAUUCUUCACAUUUCAUCACCUGAUUGUUGAGAAUAAGGGCAAGGUGUCUAGGCACAUUGUAGCAAGUGUCGAAUGACACAAAGUAUGUUGAACCCUUUCAAAGCACAGUUGGCUUAUGUAUGAAUGUGUUGGAAUGUAUGAUUGAACGAAUAUACUGUGAAGCUGUUCGUUUAUUUGUAUAGUCUUGUUGACAUAUACUUAGGCUUUGUUUCAUGUUGGAAGAAUUCAUGUUGAAGCUUUGAACCCGAAUGUUUCAUUGCUAGGAAUGUAAGAGGAUUAGGAUCAAGUUGUCUAAAUCACCUCUUUAUUGAAUUCAUGCCAAAUAGUCUUCGUUACAUAGGAUGCCGAACGGCUGAAGCUUAACACUUGUACAAUAUGAGUUUACUUGUAAUAGUACUUCAAGUGAUCAGCGUUCCAUGGAUGGCCAAAAGUCUUGCCAUCGGAGCUUUUAAGCUUGUAGGAGCCAGGGCGACUGAUGCCAACAACUUCAAACGGUCCAUCCCAGUUUGGACUAAGUGUUCCUUCACUCGGGACUCUGUUGCAGAGUAAUCUUUUCUUCAAUACCCAGUCCCCCACUUUGAAAGAAUGAGGUUUGACCCUGGAGUCAUAGUAGUUGGAGAUGCGCUGCUUAUAGGCGACAUUCCUCAAGUGAGACUGGUUUCUGUGUUCCUUGACUAGAUCUAAGUUGAGGGUAAGUUAUUUGUCAUUUUCGCUUUACACAUAGUUCUGGACUCAGAACGUUGCUUGCUCAAGCUCAACUGGGACAACUGCCUCUGUACCAAAGGCAAGUGAGAAUGGGGUUUCUCCUAUUGAUGUCCGAUACGAAGUGCGGUAUGACCAAAGAACUUAGGGUACAAAUUCUGGCCAACAACCUUUAGCCUUGUCUAAGCUGGUUUUCAAAGUUCGCUUGAUUAUUUUGUUGAUGGCUUCAACUUAUCCAUUAAACUGGGGAUGAGCUGGGGAGGCAAAACAUAAGUUGAUGUUGAACUUAGAUCAGAACAUCUUGAACUUAUUGUUGUCGAACUGUCCCCCGUUAUUAGUGACUAUCGUAUUGGGAAUGCUGAAUAUGCAAAUGAUGUUCUUCCAUACGAAGUCUUCUAUUUUUCCCUCAGUAAUGGUUGCCAAGGGUUAUACUUCGGCCCAAUUUGUGAAGUAGUCAACUGCAACGAUUGCAUAGCGAACCUUGCCCUUCCCUGCAGGUAUUGGGCUGAUCAAAUCAAAUCCCCAUUGGGCGAAGGGCGAAGGGCUGAUCAUAGGAGUGAGCGGCUCGGGAAGGGAAUGAGGAAUAGUUACGUAGCGUUGACACUUAUCACAUGAGUAGGAUAUUCUGAUGGCAUCUUGGUGGAGUGUUGGCCAAUAAUAUCCUUAGCGAAAAGCUUUCUGUGCUAGGGAUCGAGAACCAGCAUGAUCUCUGCAAACUUCUUCAUGUAUUUCCCGAAGGACAGUUUCCGCCUCUGCGGGCGUAAGGCAUUUUAGAUAUGGUAGGUUAAAACUCCACUUGUAGAAUUGGUCAUUAAUGAUCAAGUAACGGGUAGCCUUGUAUCGAAUCUGCUUAGCUUGGACUUUGUCAUUUGGAAGGGUGCCAUGAGCAAGGAAUCUAUAAAUUGGGGGUACUCCAACUAUCCCCCUGUUGUAAGUUGCACACUUCCGCAGCCAUGAUGUUUGGUGCUGCCAACAAUUCGACCUGAAUUUUUCUCCCAAUCUUGUCUUCCACCGCUGAGGCAAGGCGAGCCAAAGCAUCUACAUGACUGUUUACCGCUCGAGGAAUUUGGGUGAUCUGGUAGUGGAAGUGCUUAAGCAACAAUUGUGUUUGUGCCAGAUAUGCUACCAUGGAGCUAUCCUUAGCGUCAAAGUUGUUGGUGACCUGGUUAACCACCAAUUAGGAGUCACUGAAGAUAUCAAUUCGUUUAACCUCAAGGUGUUUGGCCAAACGUAAGCCUGCUAGGAGGGCUUCAUAUUCGGCCUCAUUGUUUGACGCCUUGAAUUUGAAACGAAGAGCAUACUCCAUCGCCACUUUGUCAGGGGUCGUAAGGACUAGUCUUGUUCCACAACCCUGUUGGUUGGACGAGCCAUCAACAUAUAGACUCCAUGCUAGGGCUGUUGGUUCUAUUUUCUGAGCUUCUGAGGGUAAUGAAACCACUUCUUUAGGCAUAGAAACAAUGUCAAUAGGAUAUGUGAAGUCGGCGAUGAAGUCUGCCACUGCUUGGCCUUUCUCAGCUGGCUUUGGUUGGUAGGAGAUGUCAAACUCACCCAAUGCUAUCGCCCAUUUGAUCAUUUGUCCGGAAGUGUCGGGACUUUGGAGUAUCUAUCGAAAAGGAUGAUUGGUAAACACGAUGAUGGAGUGUGCUUGGAAGUAAGGGCGAAGUUUUCGAGCAGACAUGACCAAAGCUAGAGCCAAUUUCUCAAUGUUAGAGUAUCGUGUCUCUGCAUCUUGUAAGGCCUUGCUAGUAUAGUAGACAGGUCGUUCAACAUUACCAUCCUUUCGAAUGAGAACAGAACUUACUGCUGAAGCUGAUACCGACAGAUAGAUAAUGAGAGUGUCACCAACCUCAGGUUUGGAGAGCAAAUGGGCUUUACUCAUGUAGUCUUUGAGGUUCUUGAAUGCCUCAGCACAUUCAUCAGUCCAUGUAAUGUACUUCUUACUUCCCUUAAGUGCUUUGAAGAAAUGAGCACAUCUGUCGGUGGCCUUAGAGAUGAACCUAGUUAAGGCGGCCACCUUGCCAGUAAGGCUCUGGAUGUCUUUUGAAGUUACUGGUUCCUUCAUGUUGAGGAUUGCUUUGAUAUUAUCGGGAUUAGCCUCAAUGCCUCGUUGGCUUAUCAUGAAGCCUAGGAAUUUGCUAGAGCCUACGCCGAAGGCACAUUUGUUGGGGUUCAACCUCAUUCGAUACCUCUUCAGAAUGGUGAAAGUUUCAGAUAGGUUGGUGAUGUGUUGGUCAGCAUGUUUGCUCUUGACUAGUAUAUCAUCAACGUAAACUUCCAUGCUUUUCCCAAUCUGUUCGGCGAACAUUGAAUUGACCAGUCUCUAAUAAGUCGCUCAUGCAUUCUUUAGGCCAAAGGGCAUGACUUUAUAGCAAUAUAGUCCAUUGUCAGUAGUAAAGGCUGUGUGUUCUUGGUCCGGAGGGUUCAUGAGGAUUUGGCUGUAUCCUGAGUAAGCAUCCAUGAAGUUCAUGAGUUCACACCCUGCUGUAGAGUCUAUAAGUCUGUCUAUGAGAGAAAGAGGAAAGCUAUCUUUCGGGCAUCCUUUGUUUAGGUCGGUGUAAUUGACACACAUUCUCCACAAGACCUUUUGAAGCAAGAAACUUUCCUUGGUCGGAUUCUUCUUAACAAGGACAACAUUUGCUAUCCAUGUUGGAUAAUUGACUUCGCGGACAAAGCCUAUGCCUUUGAGUUUUUCAACUUCUGCCUUCAUUGCCUCGUACCGUUCAGCGUCAUAAGAUCUUCGCUUCUAUCUUACUAGCUUGGUCUUGGGGUUAAUACUUAAGCGAUGACAGAUUAUAUCGGGAGAUAUGCCUGGCAUGUCCUCGUAUGACCAGGCGAAGACCUCAGUGUUCUCUUGCAAAAAAGAGAUCAAUGACAACCGAAUGGGUGGUGACAAGGUGGUACCAAUAUUCACCAUGCGAUCCGGAUAAUCUUUUGAGAUAGAGACCUUCUUCAACUUUUCAGCGGGUUGUGCUUGCUGGGUGAAAAAGUCAUCUCGAGGAUCGUCGGGUUGACUGUUGCCACCGUGAAUAUCCAAGUUGGCUUCGUCUAGGCUGGUCUUUAUGACUUGGUCAUGUAUAGAAAGAGUUUCCUUGGGCACAAGCAGAUGUUGUUGCUUGACCGAAGUGUUGUAACAUGAUCGUGCACUAAGUUGAUCUCCUCUGAUGUAACCAUUCCCAUAAGGGGUUGGAAAUUUCAUCAACAACAUAUGUGUGGAUACCAUGGCCUUGAGAUCAUUGAUGCCUGUGCGUCCCAAGAUAACAUUGUAUGUCGUUGGGCAAUCAACCACCAGGAAGUUAAUGGUAAUGGUAGCUAUGUAAGGGCCUAUACCAAUGGUGAAAGGUAAGUGUAUGCUCCCUAAAGGUUGCACGAUAUCACUGGAAAAGCUUAUCAGAGGGGAAAUCGAGCGGUCGAGCAAGUGUUCAGCUACAUUAAGUGCCCUGAAAGCUUCAGCAAACAUGAUAUUAACCGAAGCCUCCGUGUCUACCAGGAUUCGUCGUACUUCAAAGUUGGCUAUGUGAGCUUCCACGAUCAGUGGGUCGUUGUGAGGGUAGAUGAUACCUCUUUCUUCCUCAGGGUAGAAACAUAUUGGAUCCCAGUUAGGCUUUUAAUACUUACCUCCCCUGAUGUCUUCCACGUGAAACACUUGGUGACCAGACCUUAAAGCUUGUUCACUAUUUUUCAUAGCCCUAUUGGAAGAUUUAGAUAUGGGUGUGCCACCACUUAUGGAAUAUAUCACAUUUACCUGGCGUUGGUUACGGUUACCCAUUGGAGGGUGAAGGAGGAAUUGAUCAAUUUUUCCUUCACUUGCCAAAGCUUCAAUAUGAUCAUGAAGGGUGAUACACUUCUCGCCGUCAUGGCUGUUAUGCUCGUGGUAGCAGCAAAACAUGCCCGUGUUUUUCGUGGGCUUGUAAUCUGGGUGCCUCGGUUUUGGCUUCGGUAUCAAGUGUGCUAUGCUGGGGUAAAUGGCCACGCAUGUGGCGUUCAAAUGUGUGUAUGCCUCAUACCUCGGGGUAGGGGUUGUCCUGAUACAUGCUUGACCCACUGUGUUGACUGCCUGGGGUCGGGGAUUAUCAUGGCGAUACCCUUGGUUAUCGCGGUAGUGUCCCUUACUCCUUUUACUAAAAUGAGACUGGUGAUGAUGGAAAUCUUUCCUUUUGCCCUGAGAUUGAUAUAUCUGUUGACUUGGCAAAGUAUUAAGUAAGGCAGGGGGAGGCAUCGUUGCCAUUUGGAAGGUCGAGGUCUUCUCAUUUGGUUGGAUCUGGCUUCCACUCCUUACUUGCUGAUAAGGGGUGGUUGUGGGGGGUUUUCCUUGAUAUGUCCUUGCCUCGGCGGAGGCAUGGUUAUAAGCCUGUGCCAUCACUUCAGAGUAAGUCUUCCAAGUGUUGGCAUUGAUCAUGUACUUGAAGAAACAAUCACGUAGGCCUGCCGUGAAGGCCUUGACGGCGGUCUUGGCAUCUGCCUCAGCGCAGCGAGAAUACUCAUGGCUGAAACGACCAGCAUACUCUUGUAGUGACUCGUCCGGCUUCUGGCGAAUAGUGUACAAGUCAUCUGCAGAAUGCAUGCGAUCGGUCUGGAAGAUGUGUUGAGAGACAAACAGUUUCCUCAGUUCCUCAAAUGAGUCUACUGUCUCAGGUGGAAGACGGCAAUACCAGUUUAGAGCUCCGCCAGAAAGGGUGAAGGGGAAGAGAAGACAUCGCUCUUCGUCGGUGUGCAUCCGAUAUGCCAUGGUGGACUCAAAGAGGUUAAGGUGUUCAAUUGGGUCCUCCCUUCCAGUAUAGAGUUGUAAACCAAGCUUUUGUUUUGUCUUCGCUUGAAGGGGGUGUCAAGGAUCCUCCUUGUGAAAGGGCCAGGCCUGGGUUGGUUCCAGUUAGGUAUCUCGGCCUGACGUUCGGCCUUCAACUUGUUUACUUCCUCAAGGAGCUGUAGGACAAGGGGGUCUUGAGUGGAGUCAUGUACCACUGGGAUUUUCUUUCGUAAGUCUCCAUCGCCUCUUGGAAGUCAGAAAGUUUGAGCAAGGGCGUGUGAUUUUUCCUUGGACUCACCGUACUGACUUCUAGGGCGAGUCUGUCGGAAUACCUCAGAGUCCCCUGUACCUUCAUGUUCCUCUAGGACAUGUCGCUCCUUCCCUAGAUUGGCAGCUGGCCUGGGUCGUGGGAGGGGACCAAGUCUUUCAGAAACCCUUGGGUCGUUGAUCUUCGAGCAUAUGUGGAGGGGAUUCUCUUGACGUUGCUUUAGGAAGUUUCGGCAGUCAUGAUAAACGGCUUUCGAUCCUUCCAACCCUUCUGCAAAGAGGUGUCUUCCUCUACUUCUCCUGCUUCGGGUCGAAACAGUUGGGUUGAGAGAAGUUUCAUGUUGAUUAAUAUUUUGAUGAUUAGCUCGCUCUUCAUCAGGGAUACCCAUGUCGAAAGAAGGUGACCUUCCGUGUUGGGGGGCACCUAGAUGAUGGUUGAUGUCUACAGGGGCAACAAGUUCACGUGUUUGAGUACGCAUAGUUUCAUGGAGCGUCUCAAAGAGCUUCUCAUACUGCUCUUGGAGGACCUCAUUCUUCAUUGCUAUCUUGUUGUUUUGAGCUUCUAGCUUAUCGACUUUAGCUUGAACAGCAACCCUAUUUCCUUCAUUCUUUCGUUGCUUCGCACUAGGUGCAAGAAGGGUGUCAUUCUGUGUGUUGUGGCUUCCUUCGCUCCCCAUGUUGAAGAGGGAUGCCUGGUCAAAAGAGAGUGUACGAAUGGUGGAAACCAGCUUGACAAAGCUGAAGAGAGUGGGAAUAAGUGUCGUUCCCACAGACGGCGCCAAAUGUUGAUGCACAAAAUCAGUGGGGACUUUGGUACAACAGAAAGUGUUAAGUUUGUGACCUUUGCUAGAUUGCUUUGGUCACUAGUAUGGAUAAGUAUGUAAAUGGAUAGAGACAGUGAAGCAAACACAAGAUGUAUGUGGUUCACCCAGAUUGGCUACGACCACGGAGUAGAGGAGUUCUCAUUAAUUGUGAAGGGUUUACACAAGUACAUAGGUUCAGGCACUCCUUUAGUGAGUACAAGUGAAUGAUUUAGUACAAAUGACAUUAGGAAAUAUUGUGAGAGAAUUAUCUCUAUUUAUAUAAUAGAGUUUCUAGUUUCAUUCUGACAUUGACACGUGUUGUGUUGUGAUUAUUUCUGAUGUUGACACGUGUCGCGCUAUGAUUGGCUUCUGAUGUCGACACGUGUCGCGCUGUGAUUGGCCUCCUGGUUGGAGGGAAACUCUUAUGGGUCCUUGACGGUAUAAUGUUGACUGGUGCUCAGUAGUUUCGAAAUUGGUUAAGUAUGGUACAAACAGCAAGCAAAUUAAAUACGUAGGGUAGGGCGGGCGAUUAUACCGCUCCACCUAAAAUUUGCAGUAAAAUUAAAUCUGUAAUUCAAGAUAGGCGAUGAUACCGCACCAUCUUGGAUCGCAGUAAGAUGAAAUUUGCAGUUCAAGAUGGGCGAUUGUACCGCACCAUCUUAGAUUGCAGUAAAAAUAAAUAUUGGGUUAGUAAUCAAUAUCUAUACCAAACAAGAAAUCAAAGAUGUAUGUAACUGUUAGGUUGAGAACGAGAAGCAGGCAUGGAGCAAAUAGUUCGUCGCGAGGGUAUAUCGCGUAGUUGAGGCAGAGGAAGAAGAUGAACAGUAAAAACCUUAGAGGAAACAUUUUUUCUGUCGGCAAAGAGAGAUGAGAAAAGGUUAUAUUUAGAGAGUUGUGCUGAUAACGUGUUAUAAAUAUGUCAAAGUUAGAGAGAUAACCUUUUUAGUAAAUGAUGGAGCAAAGCAGGUGUAAAAUGUUACACUGAAAUUAUAGCACUAGGGGAUGACAAACAAAAGAGGGAGGAAUAGAUGAUGUUAUUGAGCUUUCUUUCUUUCUGUAUGUUUUCUCUGUAUAUACAUCGAUGGCAGUAGGAGUGCUCUAUUUAUAGAGCGAAUCCAUACGAACAAAUUCUUAAAGUUUGAAAUUUACAACUCAUAGCUUGGACAAUACAACAUUUUGUUUCCAAAGUCUUCAUCAUAUUUGUGUGGGUAUUGACAAAGAACUUAUGUAGGCAUUCAUCAGAUAGCCGAUGGUUUCAUCAGCUAAUGUUUUCAACUACCAAUAUUGACUGCCAAUGGUUUCAACAUAUACAUAUAUAUACAUACACACACACACACACACACACACAUAUAUAUAUAUGAAGAUGUUAGUUUUAUUACUUGCAUUUUAUUGAGAGUCUAAAUCCCACGUUGAAGAAAGAAGAGAUCUUGCAUAUGCUUAUAAGAAAAGAUCUUGCAUGUGCUUAUAAGAAGGGACAUUGCAUGUGCUUAUAAAUAGAAAGAAUGAACCAAAGUCAGUCCCCUCUUUUACCUUUCUUCCCUCUUUAAAAUGGAAUAAAAUUAAAACUGUGACAAAUAUCAAUGUUUGCUAUCUCUCUCUCUUUCUCUCUCUCUCUCUGCCUUCCAAGCAAAAAUCUCACUCUUCCAAAAAUCGCAGCCCCUCCCAUGCACCUCAACUAUUUGUAAGUUUUUUAAUUCCUAAUCUCAUGCUUUAUGUUAUUAAGGGUUGUAAUGUAAAUGAUGCUGAGUAAGUGUUGUUAGAGUUGUUGUGAGAAGUUUGUUAUACCUUACUUAGUUAAUAAGUUAGGUAGUUAUCCUAUAUGUAAAUGAUGGUAUAUAUACCAAAAGUGUAACAUUAUUCAAGUAAUGAAAAUCACAAUUUCAUUUUUCUAUUAUCUCUCUAUCUUUCUUACUGGAUCUCUCUCUAGAUUCUAACAAGGUAUUUAUCGCCGGUGUCUAACGACUUCUGAUGAUGCUUCGUAUCCCUACGUUCUCUGUGUUCUCUCUUUUUGCAUUUCUACACUACCAACAAUGGCGGUCUCUCCUCCACCUCUCUCUGAUUAUACGUCGCAGUCAUCUCCUGCAAAUUCUUCAGCCCCAAAUUUGUGCCCUAAUUCGGUCAAUUCUUUGAUCACAAUUCAAAACAUUAGCUCGCUGGUCCCGAUCAAACUGACGAUUACAGAUUGGAUCACCUGGAGUGCUUUAUUUGCACUGAUCUUUUGUCGGUACAAUCUCACUGGAAUAAUUGAUAGUUCCAUGGUGGCGCCGCCUAAGUAUCUUCUUGGUUGUUUAGGAAAUUGCAUUUCGACUGUGAAUCCUCAAUAUGUGACGUGGUUUGAGAAUGAUUAGAACAUUCUGAUCUGGAUCAAUUAGGCACUCUCGGAUUCUCUGAUCCCUUACACUGUUGGUGUUACCUCUGCUCGUGAUCUGUGGGCAAAAUUGGAGUCUCGCAUUGCGACGGCAUCUCAAUCACACAUUCAUGAACUUCGUGCUCGCCUUCGAACAAUUACUAAAGGCGAUUCCACUGCGGCUGCUUAUCUUCAACAAAUUGAAGAAAUCGCUGAUGCUAUUGCGACUGCUGGUGCUCCGAUUGAUGAUUCAGAACUCAUCUCUAUUAUUCUUCAUGAAUUACCGCUUGAAUAUGAUGCCUUUAAUGAUACUAUUCAGUUUUGUCUUGGUUCAACCAUUAUUGAUGAGUUACACGGCUUGUUGCUAAGUAAGGAGAUUCAAUUGGCAAAUCGUAAGAAGGUUUCUCCAUCAGCGCCAUUUCAAGCUUAUAAUUCCUUUGCCGACAUUCUUCCUACACCACUCGGUGACUCCAAUUCUCAGGCGUAUUAUGUUCAACAGAGCUCCAAUUUCAAUUCUUCACAAGGCCAUGGCAUGGAUUGGAAUUUUUCUAACCCUAGAAAUUUUCAGUAUCGCCCCAAUAACUCUCGAUCUUACAAUUCUCGCUCGAAUUUCUCUCGCCAAGGUCAACAGAAGAAUAAUCGUGGCUCCAGAUCCAAUUUCAAUAAUUUCAACAAAAGAAAUUCAUGUUAAAUUUGUUGUCAACUUGAUCAUGAGGUUAUUAAUUGUCCGCAUCGUAUGAAUCCUAGUUAUGGCAACAAGAAUUCACAGACAACUUUUCAUGCUAACACUUCUCUUCCACCACUCCAACAUGGCUUCUUGAUACUGGCGCCAGUUCUCAUAUGACCAACUUUUACACAAAUCUUCAAAGUCCUGAAUCCUACAAUGGUCCUGAGCAGGUCUAUAUUGGCGACGACAAAUGUUUGCCUAUUACUCACUCUGGUUCUUCUAGUCACGCCCCGAUCCCGACAUACGUCCAGGAUCGAUACGUGACGUCACUAAAUACUCGUAUAACUCACAUACCCCGUCUCCAGGUUAUGGAAAAUCACAAUUCGAGAAUCAAAUUGCAAAGUAAUUUUUCGUUUACCUUAUGGCUGCAUCUAACCUCCUUGUUAAACUACCUAGGUACCCUCAAUAGGGAUCAAGUCAUUCGUAGUUCACUUAUCACAAAAUCAGACGUUUAUUCCAUUAAGUUCAAGCAUAAAAGUAUAGCAUUCCUCAAUCAUUUAUUAUAACCUGUCAACAUGUAAUUCCUGGACUCAGGCUACAUAACCAAUCCCCAUGAAAACAUGAUUUCUCUCCCAUCCAACAUAUAAAUCAUUAUGUCUCAUCAUGAUAUCGCAAUUCACAACACACAUCAUAUUUAAGAGCCGAUGAAACACAAAACCAUUCUCUAGCCACAUUAAUUACUUAAUUUGAUCAAGUAAUAACAAUCAUUCCCAUAUCUUCUAAAUUCAUACCUUAUGAAAUCAUAAUCGAAUCAUAGAAAAUCCAGAAGGAGUCACUCAGACGUCCAACAUCUUUUCUAACUCAAUUCACAAGACUCUCGAAACCAUUGACACAAAUAUAUAUAAAACUAAGGCUAGAGUGACACAGUUAGGCCAAGCCUACUUCUCCAAAUAAUGGGAUUUUAGGCCACUCCACGAAAUUCAACAACCUCGAGUUCCGGACCAUUCAACGAAACCAACCCAAAUAUGAUCACCUAUAAAAUGUACCAGGUACAACCAAUCAUCAUCACCUCUAGAAUGUGUAUGGUCCCCCAUCGCGGAUAUACCAAGCAGAACCAUAGGCAUAAUCUCAUCAUGCAAGCAGUGAUUAGCCAUCGCGGAUAUACCAAGCAUGAUCACCCCUGAAUACAUAUGGUCUCCCAUCACGGAUAUACCAAGCAGAACCAUAGGCAUAAUCUCAUCCUGCAGGCAGUGAUCACCUAUCGUGGAUAUACCAAGCAUGAUCACCCCUAAAUACAUAUGGUCCCCCAUCGUGGAUAUACCAAGCAGGACCACAUCCUAGCUCUAGAUAGUGACCACCCAUCGCAGAUUAACCAAGCAGGGUCAAGAUAACCAAGUAGGUAGUGACCCCCCAACACGAAUUAACCCAGCAAAACCAUCCAUGUACUAGGGCUACACGGUGCAGUUAGAUCAACACACAAACCACUUACCCUUAUCUCAUCCGCUAUGAUUUACAUCGUAAUCACUUGCACUAUCAACUUCUCAUGACCACUAUCUUAUCAUACAAGCAUAAAAGUUCCACAUAAACUUCUCAUAAGAUUUUGGGUUCACAUCGUCAUAAAAACAAUCAUUCACAUCAUACAUAUCUAACCACAUUUCAUAAACGUUUCCAAGCUACAGUAGAUUCACAAUUACUAAACAUAGAUCGAUGCUAAAAAUAAAAAUAACAAUUCAAUAAGAAACACAUUUAAUCAACAAGUAUAACUCGAUAUUAGGCCUGGCAAUUCCUGACACGACCCAAUAACCCGACACGACACGACACGAAAUUAACAGGUGUUCGGGUCGACACGAUAACGAAACGGGUCGUUAUCGGGUAACCCGAUAAGCACCUGUUAAGAUAACGGGUUGUUUCGGGUAUACACGUGGGUAACACGAUACACGAUAAGCAGAAUAUUAAUUUAAUAAUUUUAUAACCCUAAAAAAAAUACUAUAAUUACUAUAUAUAUUAAUUUAACAAUUUUAUACGCCUAAAAACUAUAAUAAUAUAUAUAUAUAUAUAUAUAUAAUAUAUAUAUAUAUUAUAUUAACUAUAAUAAUUAUAAUAAUUAUAUAUACUAUAAUAAUUAUACCCCCAAAUAUUAACUAUAAUAGUUAUAUUUAUAUAUAUAUAUAUAUUAAAUUUUAAAUUAAAUUUUAUACCCCUAAAAACUAUAAUAAUUAUACAUACAAAAUAAAUAGAUUUAAAUCUACUUAAUAAAUAAAUAAAUAUACACACACACACACACACCAUUGAACUUCAUGGGAUACGAAUUAUACGAAACUAAUUUCAAUAAUUCAACCGUCAAACUUGUUUGUAUAUGCUUCGAGAUCGCAUCAGCAAAAAAUUACAAAAACCAAACAUUCACAGAUCAAGUAACGAUACAAAACUUUUCGACGGUUAUAAACGAAAAAUCACGAUUUAACGGUUAUUUUAACUCCGAUUUUGAUGAUUUUUUACAGCUACACUCCUUGACCCUAUAUGAAUACAAUGAAUGAAUUCGAUCUUCAAUUUAAAAUAUUUACACUAGUAGAUAACACAAAAUCUUAUGUUAUAUUUGAUAAAAGUAUGAAUAAACUCUUAAGUGUUAGUGAAUCUAUUGUUUUGAUGAGAUACGCAUUCUACGAAACUAGUUUCAACAAUCCAACCGUCAAACAUGUUUGUAUAUACUUCGAGAUCGCAUAUGCCAAAAAUUGAAAAAAACAAACAUUCAGAGAUCAAGUAACGAGACAAAACCUUUCGACGGUUAUAAACGAAAAAUCACGAUUUAACGGUUAUUUUAACUCCAAUUUUGAUAAUUUUUUACAGCUACACUCCUUGACCCUAUAUGAAUACAAUGAAUGAAUUCGAUCUUCAAUUUAAAAUAUUUACACUAGUGGAUACCACAAAAUCUUAUGUUAUAUUUAAUGAAAAUAUGAAUAAACUCUUAAGUGUUAGUGAAUUUAUUGUUUUGAUGAGAUGCGCAUUUUACGAAACUAGUUUCAACGAUCCAACCGUCAAACUUGUUUGUAUAUGCUUCGAGAUCGUAUACACCAAAAAUUGCAAAAAACAAACAUUCAGAGAUCAAGUAAUGGGACAAAACUUUUCGACGGUUAUAAACAAAAAAUCACGAUUUAACGGUUAUUUUAACUCUGAUUUUGAUGAUUUUUUACAGCUACACUCCUUGACCCUAUAUAAAUACAAUGAAUGAAUUCAAUCUUCAAUUUAAAAUAUUUACACUAGUGGAUACCACAAAAUCUUAUGUUAUACUAGAUGAAAGUAUAAAUAAAAUCUUUAAAUGUUAGUGAAUCUAUUGUUUUGAUGAGAUACACAUUCUACGAAACUAGUUUCGACAAUCCAACCGUCAAAAUUGUUUGUAUAUGCUUUGAGAUCACAUAUGCCAAAAAUUGCAAAAAACAAACAUUCAGAAAUCAAGUAACGGGACAAAAAAUUUCGACGGUUAUAAACGAAAAAUCACGAUUUAACGGUUAUUUUAAUUCUAAUUUUGAUGAUUUUUUAAAUUUACACUCCUUGACCCUAUAUGAAUACAAUGAAUGAAUUCGAUCUUCAAUUUAAAAUAUUUACACUAGUGGAUACCACAAAAUCUUAUGUUAUACUUAAUGAAAAUAUUAAUAAACUCUUAAGUGUUAGUGAAUAUAUUGUUUUGAUAAGAUACGCAUUUUGCAAAACUAGUUUCAACGAUCCAACUGUCAAACUUCUUUGUAUAUGCUUCGAGAUCGCAUAUGCCAAAAAUUGCAAAAAAAGAAACAUUCAGGGACCAAGUAACGAGACAAAACUUUUCGACGGUUAUAAACGAAAAAUCACGAUUUAACGGUUAUUUUAACUCCGAUUUUGAUGAUUUAUUACAGCUACACUCUUGACCCUAUAUAAAUACAAUGAAUGAAUUUGAUCUUCAAUUUAAAAUAUUUACACAAGUGGAUACCACAAAAUCUUAUGUUAUACAUAAUGAAAAUAUUAAUAAACUCUUAAGUGUUAGUGAAUAUAUUGUUUUGAUGAGAUACACAUUUUGCGAAACUAGUUUCAACGAUCCAACCGUCAAACUUGUUUGUAUAUGCUUUGAGAUCGCAUAUGCCAAAAAUUGCAAAAAACAAACAUUCAGAGAUCAAGUAAUGGGACAAAACUUUUCGACGGUUAUAAACAAAAAAUCACGAUUUAACGGUUAUUUUAACUCCGAUUUUGAUGAUUUUUUACAGCUACACUCCUUGACCCUAUAUAAAUACAAUGAAUGAAUUCGAUCUUCAAUUUAAAAUAUUUACACUAGUGGAUACCACAAAAUCUUAUGUUAUACUAGAUGAAAGUAUAAAUAAAAUCUUUAAAUGUUAGUGAAUCUAUUGUUUUGAUGGGAUACACAUUCUACGAAACUAGUUUCGACGAUCCAACCGUCAAAAUUGUUUGUAUAUGCUUUGAGAUCACAUAUGCCAAAAAUUGCAAAAAACAAACAUUCAGAGAUCAUGUAACGGGACAAAACCUUUCGACGGUUAUAAACGUAAAAUCACGAUUUAACGGUUAUUUUGACUCCGAUUUUGAUGAUUUUUUUACAGCUAUACUCCUUGACCCUAUAUAAAUACAAUGAAUGAAUUCGAUCUUCAAUUUAAAAUAUUUACACUAGUGGAUACCACAAAAUCUUAUGUUAUACUUGAUGAAAGUAUGAAUAAAAUCUUUAAAUGUUAGUGAAUCUAUUGUUUUGAUGGGAUACAUAUUCUACGAAACUAGUUUCGACGAUCCAACCGUCAAACAUGUUGUAUAUACUUCGAGAUUGUAUAUGCCAAAAAUUGCAAAAAAAAAACAAUCAGAGAUCAAAUAACGAGACAAAACUUUUCGAUGGUUAUAAACGAAAAAUCACGAUUUAACGGUUACUUUAACUCCGAUUUUGAUAAUUUUUUACAGCUACACUCCUUGACCCUAUAUGAAUACAAUGAAUGAAUUCGAUCUUCAAUUUAAAAUAUUUACACUAGUGGAUACCACAAAAUCUUAUGCUAUACUUGAUGAAAGUAUGAAUAAAAUCUUUAAAUGUUAGUGAAUCUAUUGUUUUGAUGGGAUACGCAUUCUACGAAACUAGUUUCGACGAUCCAACCGUCAAACAUGUUUGUAUAUACUUCGAGAUUGUAUAUGCCAAAAAUUGCAAAAAAUAAACAUUUAGAGAUCAAGUAACGCGACAAAACUUUUCGAUGGUUAAAAACGAAAAAUCACGAUUUAACGGUUAUUUUAACUCCGAUUUUGAUAAUUUUUUACAGCUACACUCCUUGACCCUAUAUGAAUACAAUGAAUGAAUUCGAUCUUCAAUUUAAAAUAUUUACAUUAGUGGAUACCACAAAAUCUUAUGUUAUACUUAAUGAAAAUAUUAAUAAACUCUUUAAGUGUUAGUGAAUAUAUUGUUUUGAUGAGAUACGCAUUUUGCGAAACUAAUUUCAACGAUCCAACCGUCAAACUUUUUUUUAUAUGCUUCGAGAUCGCAUAUGCCAAAAAUUGCAAAAAACAAACAUUUAGAGAUGAAGUAACGAGACAAAACAUUUCGACGGUUAUAAACGAAAAAUCACGAUUUAACGGUUAUUUUAACUCAGAUUUUGAUGAUUUUUUACAGCUACACUCCUUGACCCUAUAUAAAUACAGGGAAUGAAUUCGAUUUUCAAUUUAAAAUAUUUACACAAGUGGAUACCACAAAAUCUUAUGUUAUACUUAAUGAAAGUAUGAAUAAAAUCUUUAAGUGUUAGUGAAUCUAUUGUUUUGAUGGGAUACGCAUUCUACGAAACUAGUUUCGACGAUCCAACCAUCAAACAUGUUUGUAUAUACUUCGAGAUUGCAUAUGCCAAACAUUGCAAAAAACAAACAUUCAGAGAUCAAGUAACGAGACAAAACUUUUCGACGGUUAUAAACGAAAAAUCACGAUUUAACGGUUAUUUUAACUCCGAUUUUGAUGAUUUUUUACAGCUACACUCCUUGACCCUAUAUGAAUACAAUGAAUGAAUUCGAUCUUCAAUUUAAAAUAUUUACAUUAGUGGAUACCACAAAAUCUUAUGUUAUACUUAAUGAAAGUAAGAAUAAACUCUUAAGUGUUAGUGAAUAUAUUGUUUUUGAUGAGAUACGCAUUUCUACGAAACUAGUUUUCAACGAUCUAACCGUCAUACUUGUUUGUACGCCAAAAAAUUGCAAAAACAAACAUUUAAAGAUUAAGUAACGGGACAAAACUUUUCGACGGUUAUAAACGAAAAAUCACAAUUUAACGGUUAUUUUAACUCCGAUUUUGAUGAUUUUUUACAACUACACUCCUUGACCCUAUAUGAAUACAAUGAAUGAAUUCAAUCUUCAAUUUAAAAUAUUUACACUAGUGGAUACCACAAAAUCUUAUGUUAUACUUAAUGAAAGUACGAAUAAACACUCUAGUGGGUCACUUUCAUUAAGUUUUGAGUUCCAUUGGCAAUGUUUAAACUUUUGAAAAAGGCUUCACAAGCUUGAAAAAAAAAAACGGUUUCAUUUGUCAUAUCCUUGCACAUUUAAUAUUUGUAAUAGAUUAGUAGUGUAUGGAUGUAUUUUUUAUGAGGCUCUUAUUUUCGAAUGUAGAUGUAGUCCUUAAACGACAAAUGUGUUUUAAUGUUUUGAAGUAUUAUUUAUGUGACAAUGUGUGGUAUGUGCAAAUUUAAGAAAAAAAAAUAUUUUUCUUAACGGGUCAUAACGGGUCGGGUCACUUUACCCCGGGUCGGGUCACUUUACCCGUUGGGUAAAGUGACCCGACCUGUUAAUGACCCGUUAAGAUAACAGGUGUGACACGACACGACCCGUUAAGAUAACAGGUGUUACACAAAAACGACACGAACACGACUGACACGACCCGUUUGCCAGGCCUACUCAAUAUGGUGCCACUAAUACAUAUACCGAGCCACACGUCAACUGGGAACGACACAUCAUCGUGAUGAGCCAACUAAGCUCCAUCAAGCCUCAACAACAUACUAGAGGUAAGCGACCUCAAGAGUAGAGCACGUUGACUAGAACGUCAACCGUCGAUAAGGUAGGUCCAUUAAGGUCAACCUAAGGUUAUUCAAUCCAGAAGAUCCGCACAUCGGAUUUCCAAUCUGUAAGUUCUCAAAGGUCCAAGAACUGAUAACUAGGGUGUUUACAAAAUUGUACGACGAACCAACAAUCAGAUUGUCAUCAAUCACAUAAACAAGUGACAGUCCAAUUUAAUCCCCACACCAAACAAUUGAAUUUCGGGAAACCGAGCUAGACAUAGAUUUACAAGUUCCCUAUAAAGUAUUUGGUACUUAGACAACACUCGUGGACGGUCCCAAGCACCGCCACGCACCGCCACACGCCGGGUAGUCAAAGUGGAGAGUUUAGUAACCCCGAAUUUCCAACAUUAACUAAAUGAACUCAAAUUUACGUGGUAGCUAGAGUUCAACAAGGGAAACAUUUUUCACAACUAUGCCGACGACAAAUUCUAACCGGAAACCGUCCAAAUUCACAGGAGAAAACCAGAUUUCUAGGGUUCUAAACACCCAACUCUAAAAUAAAUACUAAAGCAUGAACAAAGCAUACCAACUUGAAGAUUAGGAAGAGUAGAUGAAGUUUCAUACCUCACUCAAAGGAAAUGAUUGUCGUAAUCAUCGAAAAAAUGAUAAAACCGCCGAAAACCCAAGAGAUUUUUCUGCCUCGAACUGGAAAAAUGGAAAAGAAAAAAGAAAAUCUAACACUACAGAGAUGUAAGACUCGUCAAGAGCUUUCCAUAGACACCAAGAUCAUCCAAAACGAAGCUCGGAUGAAGGAGAUAUAAGCGGGUCAAGUUGACGGGUUAAAAGGUUGAAAUCGCCCCAAAAACGGGUCAAAAUCAGACCUCUCCUUCUUUCAUUUUUUUUUAUUUUUUUUAUUUUUAGAAACCUUCCCCCCUACCCCCUUUUAUUUGAUUGGUCAUUCUCCUUCUAGCUAAUUGGUCAUCUUAUUUUUGCUUAAAUCUGAUUAAGCUUCUUCCUUGUGGAAGUUUAAUUGAUUUAAAAUCUAUAAUUUAGUAAAACAACUUUAAAUGUCCGUAAUUAUACCGUUAUAAUCCGAACUCGUGAAUGGCUUUCGCCAAUACGUUCAUGGUUUCAAGAUCUAUUCGAAAAUGCUACUUGUGACCUCGAAAGGUCAACGAGUAAAUAAUAAUUUUCCAAACUUCACUCUUCGUAACUAGUUUAAUUGAAAUCUAAAUUCAAAUAAAUUAAUAUAAAUUCUCAAAAAAUAAUAUAAAAUCUCAAUAAUACAAAUAUGUAGAUUAUAACAGUGAAAUCCAGGAACGGGAUUUCACACUUCUAGUCUUUAUACUUCUACUCAUACGUUUGAUUUGAACAAUGUGAUGCAUGUUCUUGAUUUGAAACAAGAUUUGACUUCUACAAAUCGAUUUCUAGUUGAGAACUGGUGCUCCAUUCAUCUCUAUCCCUUUCACUUCAUUAUAAAGGAUCCCACUUCGGGGAAUGAGCUUUUUAAAGGCCCUGUCAAAGUUAGAUUCUAUCACUUUCUUGCACCCUCUGUUGUUGGAAACCAUCAUGCUUAUGUGAUCAGUACUAAAGCUUCUCAAGGCAUCUGGCAUCAACGUUUAGGCCAUCCAUCUUUCAAGAUUUUAAAUAAACUAGCUUCAAAGUCUAGUAUCUCUUGGUCAGAUAGGAUAAAUAAAUUUGUGUGCUCCAGUUGUGCUUUAGGUAAAUGUUCUCGAAAAUCAUUUACCUCUAUUUCUUGUAACAUAAGCAAACUUCUUGAGCUAUUGCACACUGAUGUAUGGGGUCCUGUGCCCAUUUCUUCUGUCAAUGGAUAUCGAUAUUAUCUUCUCUUGGUUGAUGAUUUUACUAAGUAUUCUUGGUUCUUUCCAUUGAAGUACAAAUCUGAAGUUUUCAGUACAUUUGUUCAUUUCAAAUCAAUGGUUGAAAACAUGUUGGGAUUCAAGGUUAUUACUAUGCGACCUGACUCUAGUGGUGAAUUUGUCAAUCGCAACUUCCCUGAUUUCUUUAAAACACAUGGGAUCUCUCAUCAACUCAACUGCCUUCAUAUCCAGAACAAAAUGGUUGUGCUGAAAGAAAGCACAUGCAUUUAGUUGAAACUGCCCAGACUAUUGUUACUGCAUCUCAAGUUCUUCAUAUCUAUUGGGUUAAAACAUUUUCAACAGCUCUUUAUCUCAUCAAUCGAAUGCCCACUAGUGGUAAACCCUCUUAUUGGGAACUCUUAUUUCAUAAACCACCAGAUUACACAACUCUCAAGGUCUUUGGUUGUAGGUGCUUUCCUUGGUUAAAACCUUACACAUUUUCUAAGCUUGAUCCUAAAAGCAAACCUUGUGUAUUUUUGGGAUAUAGACUAAAUCACAAAGGCUAUAGAUGUUUGGAUGCUCACACUGGGAAACUUUAUAUUUCCAGACAUAUAAUCUUUGAUGAACACACAUUUCCAUUUCAUCAUAACCAAUCCACUGUGAGUCAUCUUCCUCCAGUUCAACCUAUUUCCAAUUUCCCAUCCAUCCCAACCUCAUUAACCUUUACUCAUUCCUUUACUCCUUCUUCAUCAUCUGCUUUAUUAAACUCACCCUCACAAUCCAAUUCCUUAUUUACUUCACAUACUCCUUCACUUUCAGAUCCCUUACAUACCUCCUCCUUAUUCACCAUCUUCCCCCUAUAACUAAUAUUCAUCAUAUGAAGUCUGGCAUUUUCAAACCUAAGGCUAUUUUAGCAACUAAACAUCCUCUCCCAUCUCAUCUAUCUCCUGAUUACACACCUUCCACAUAUCUUCAAGCAUCUAAACACUUGCACUGGAGGUAAGCUAUGCAGGAAGAGUUCAAUGCUCUACUUCAAACUGGUACAUGGUCUCUGGUACCUCCUGAUUCCUCUCAAAACUUGGUAAGGUGUAAUUGGGUUUUCCAUAUUAAAAGAAAGCUUGAUGGUUACAAAGCCCAUCUUGUUGCUAAAGGAUUUCAUCUGCAACAAGGUCUAGAUUACAAUGAAACCUUCAGUCUGGUUGCAAAACCAAUUACCAUUCGACUUCUCUUAACCUUAGCAGCUAAAUUUGAUUGGUUUAUCAAAUAGUUAGAUGUUAGUAAUGCAUUUCUGCAUGGCAAUCUCACUGAGUCUGUUUUAAUGGUUCAACCUCCCAGGUUUGAAGAUCCUGCUCAACCACAUCAUGUUUGUACAUUGCACAAGUCUCUGUAUGGCCUAAAACAAGCUCCCAAAGCUUGGUUUGCCAAGUUAAUAGCUGCAUUACACUCUAUUGGAUUCUUUGGCUCUCAAAAUGACCAUUCUUUAUUUGUUAAGAAAGAUGCUUCAAUGGUAUAUGUCUUGGUGUAUGUUGAUAAUAUUUUAGUUACAGGACCAGAUUCUGCAACAUGUAAAACUAUGAUUUCUCAACUUUGUGAGUUAUAUCCUGUUAAGGAUUUGGGAUCACUUCAUUAUUUUUUAGGUAUUGAGGUCAAGAGAUCUUCUAAGGGCAUAUUUAUCUCUCAAACUAAAUACAUUCUGGAUCUUCUCAAGAAGGCACACAUGGAGGGUGCUAAACCCUGUGUCACUCCACUGAGCACAACUAAAUUGGAUCACUCUUCUCCAUUACUGUCCAAUCCAAAAGAAUACAGAUCCUUAGUUGGAGGGCUUCAAUACUUAACCUGGACUCGACCAGAUUUGUCAUUUGCAGUAAAUCUUGUUUGUUAGUUCAUGCAAUGUCCAUGAGAAUCUCAUUUCCAGGUUGUUAAACGCAUUUUUAGAUAUUUGAAAGGCAAUAUUUCUCUUGGUCUCUAGUUUCCAAAAUGUUUUGCACCUCUUAGUAUUCAUAGUUUUUCAGAUGCAGAUUGGGCCGGUUGCACUAUUGAUCGGCGUUCCACAGGUGGUUUCUGUAUUUUUCUGGGUGAUUCACUUAUAAGUUGGAGUGCUAAGAAACAACCCACCGUGGCUAGAUCAUCAACUGAAGCAGAAUACCGAUCUUUAGCUACCACCGCUGUUGAGUUAACUUGGAUUUGCAAAUUGUUAGUUGAUAUUGGUCUUGUUCUUCCCUGUCCUCCUAAACUUUGGUGUGAGAACAUAUAUGUUAUAUCUAUUGCUAAGAAUCGCCUUUUUCAUGCUCAAACCAAGCAUGUGGAGAUUGACUACCACUUCAUUUGGGAGAAAGUCUUGGUAAAUUCUAUCACAUUGCACUUUGUAUGUACACAGGAUCAAACUACAUAUAUUUGCACUAAAGCAUUAUCCAAGGGUCGGUUUCUUCUUCUCCGAGACAAACUUUCUCUUCAGCUACCUCAGCUUAGUUUGAGGGAGGAUAUUAAGGGUAGUAAUGUAAAUGAUGCUUAGUAAGUGUUGUUAGAGUUGUUGUGAGAAGUUUGUUAUACCUUACUUAGUUAAUAAGUUAAGUAGUUAUCCUAUAUGUAAAUGAUGGUAUAUAUACCAAAAUCGUAACAUUAUUCAAGUAAUGAAAAUCACAAUUUCAUUUCUCUCUUCUCUCUCUAUCUUUCUUACUGGAUCUCUCUCUAGAUUCUAACAUCUAUCUCUAAGAAUGGAAGAAAUAUAUAUAUAUAUCUGAAGAUGUUAGUUAUAUUAUUUGCAUUUUGUUAAGAGUCUGAAUCCCAUGUUGGAGAAAGAAAUGACAUUGCAUAUGCUUAUAAAUAGUUAAAAUUCUUGCAAUUGAUGAAGUGUGUUUAAUUAGAUUCUAGUUUUUGCUUAGAAAUUUUAUUCAAAUUUGAAGAAUAAGUUGUAUGGAUUUUUGAAGAAUUUGACAGAAAUUGUGUUGCAUGAUGAAUAGAGUGGUAAACAGGUGAAUGUGACUAGAGUUUGAUAACAGAAGAAGAUUUAGAAAAGCCAACAACCUGUAUGAAGAAGAUAGGAUUCUUGAAGCUAGUCCUUCCCUCAAGAAAUCCCAGAUAGACCCCGAAAAUUUUUAAUUUUUUUAUACAAGCGAUGUUAAGUGAGGGAGAUAAUGGAAGUUGGGACCUCAAGUGCAAAGAGCUGAUUUUUCUUAACCAACUCUUGAAACUAUGGAAAAAUCCCAUUUCAUAAUUUUAGUUUUAUUCACUAUGCAAGCAAAAAACCAUCUGCAAUGCUUCUGAUCUCCCUUUUUCUCUGUGUCUGUCUACAAAUUUCAUGUCAAGUCUUCUGCAAUAGGGAGAGAACUCCAUAUGGCACGCAGGGAAAUAGGUCGAUUCAAAGAAAGCAGAACGGACACAGACGCCUUAAAGAGCACAAGCGCAAUCCGAGAUGACUGAUACAAUGAAGAGAGCUAAAGAUUUGUCUUCUGUAAUUGAGGAAUCAAUCUCCAAGGCGAAAUCACGUACGCGAGAGAUUCAAGUACUAAAGAAAUCGCGAAGGCACGUAGGUAGGCGGGAAGAUCAGGUAUUGGCAAUUGGGGAUGUGGACAAUAAAAAAUAUACAGAAGUGAUGAGAGAAUUCGAACUUGUGAGACAGGAACUAAGCAUGCUUAAGCUUGAUAUGGCAUCGAUUUUACAAGAGAAAUUGGGGACAGAGAAGCAAACAGAGGCCUCAAAAGCAAAGAUGUUGUUUUAUACAAGCUUAAGCUUGUUAACGACCCAACUCGUUAACAAGUUAUUAUAGGAUACCCGAUAAUGAUCCGACUCAUUAACAGAUUGACUCGAAACUUGUUAUUUUUUUGUCAUUUUGUAUAUGAUUAACGGGUUCGUAAGAAAUUACCAAGCCUACAAUAUACUGUGGCUGAAGGGAUACCAAAAUUUUCAACUCAACAACAAUCAAAGAGAGUAUACUAUUAGGGCCCGUUUGUUUGGCUUCACUAAGUUUCAUUGGACUAGAUUGGAUUAGCUUUUAGUGUAGUCCAACAUUUGUUGUGAUGAGGGACUAAUAUUAAUGAGAUUAGCUGGGACUCGCCCAGACUAACGGCAUCGCUAGCAGUUCUUAGCGAGAGUCCCCGAAAACCACAGGACUAGCUAAGGCCUGCUUCGUCCUACUCCCGUUGCUCUGCUGGCGUUCUCUCUGCAACCCAAGCUUCAUCUUCUUUGCGACCACUUCAUCUUCUCUACAACCAUAGCGUCCUCUCUUUGCACACAUCUGCACAUCUUCGCAAAUCCGCUUGAAUCACAAAACCCAUAUUUGAAUCACAAAACCCAGACACGAAUUGCAAAUUCCAUAUUUGAAUUGCAAACCCAGAUUCGAAUUGCAAAACCAAGUUUGUUUGAAUCUCUGCAAAACCCAGAUUUGAUAAGAAAAUUUUGUAGCCUAAAAUCCAAAAGGAAAUAACCAAAACCCAAGGGUGCUUUGCAUACCAAAUUCCUUUUGCAACUUUCAAGAGAGAUGGAGAUUCUAGAUAGGGAAAUUGGGGCACAAUUUCUUUUUAUUUUUUAUUUUUGGAUCCAUUUGGUGCACAAUUAUAUAUGUACAAAGUUCAUUUGUUUUCGGGAGAAGGGAUGCAGUUGACUAGAAAAAAGAGAAAGAAAAAGAAAAAAAAAUGAAAAAAGAGAAUUAUUUUUUAUUAUUUUGGUUAUUAGUCCGACACUGCAUCAAAUGCUUCACUAAGUUAGUCCAGUUUAUUCUAGUCUAAACCAGUCCAGCUUAGUCCCUACAGCUAGUCCAGUUCGAGACAGUCCGGUGCAACAAACGCACCCUUACAUUAUUACAACCAUUCCUAAUAACAGAAUGUAGUAGUCAAUAAUACAGGAAUGAAUAACUGAAACAGCUGUGUAAAUCAAAUUUAACAGCUAAACACCCCUAGUAUUGAAUGGUACGUAAAAUUAAAGUCACACCCUAGAAUAAGUUUAAACUAAAAAAUGUAGGAAAAUGUUUUGGUUCUAUAAUUUAAACACAGUGCCAUCAAAUUACCUAUAUAUUGUUCAUAACUUGUACAAUUUUAACCGCCCGUAAGAAGAAAGAGAGAAAAGGAAGAAACAACAAAUUGGAACUUGUACAAUUUUAACUGCCUCUAAGAAGAAAGAGAGAAAAGGAAGAAACAACAAAUUGGAUUUUGGACGGGACUCGAACCAAAUCCGCCGUCCAUCCGAUCAUGUAAUGAAACCGUCACAAAAAAUGCAGCAAAGUAUUGCUCUUCCUUUCUUGAAAACCCUUUUCUCAACGAGUGCACCAAAAAAUGAAUAAAUUGUUUGUAUUAACUGGAUGAUCCUCACCUGAGAUAACGAGACGCAAAGUAAAACUCUUGCCACCCCUUACAGAGACAAAUCAAAUUUUAUUGGUUCUGAGUUUCCUCUGGUCCCUUUGCUUUGCCUCUGAGCAUGUCAGUGAAAUUCCCCCGCAUUAUUCGCCUUAAUCUAGUGUCUUCUGCAGGUGGUGAAGGUGUGGCCUUUGGGGACUCAACGGGCUCUGGUGGUGGCUCGGGACUUUCUUUCUUUCCCAGUAGACCACCUUCACCAAAGAAACUACUCACGGAGGAUGUAAGCCCAGCCCCCAUCACCUUACUGAUGGUAUCAAAAGUUCCACCAGAUCUCUCCUUCAUUAUAAUUUCAAGGGCUUCUUUGUGUGCAGGGUCAAGCGCAUCAGAGUCUCUAAAUAAGUUCUGUAUUGCAGGCAUAAGAAAGUCCCGAACACUAUUUGCUGAAAUAUCUGGAUUAAUUACGUAUAUUUGAAAUCAAUAUCAGCAACAUAUUACAAAAGCUGAAAAUUCUGGAACAUAGGGUUACGAAUAUAAACUAUAACUGUAGGUCAUUGUUUUAACAUCAUAGUAGGUCAUCAAAAGUCCGCACACAUAUUACCAAUCAGUUAAGAAUCCUAUGAAGCUACAGUUUGGCAUGGCGCGAUUUGUUAGGGCGCCACCAAAAACUAGUUUCGACACAUGAUUGUAAAGUUCCAACUAUGUACACAAGGUCAUUAAAGUGAAAACUGAUAUAAUCUAGGGAUAUCUUGCUUUUACAUAAACAUAUGGUUUCAAGCAUGGCUGCUCAAAAACUUAGAAGAACUGGUGAUCUGUGUAUUAUUUUGACAUUAUAGUCGUUUAAUAUUUGAUGUUUGUUUGCAUGCUAAAGAAACAUAAUCUCGUUUAGAGUAAAAUUAGGGAUAAAAAAUGCAUACGAUUCUCUUUGAUAAAACGCAUAACGUAUUUAAGUCUGAAAAUAAUCUAGGUAAUCAGACCAAAUUUCUUUUACAUGUUCCCAAGAAGUGUACAAGUGUCAUGUUCUAUAUAUAUGAAGGAAGUGAAAGAUAAUGUAGCUCAAGGUGUGUAAUGGUGCAGAAAGGGAAGAGAAAUUAAUAAACUAACAAUAUAUAGAACAUCUGGGUCAUAAGAAAAAGAAAACCUGUUGCAUCCAGAGCACGGAUUGCUUCACAAAAUGCAUUGACUCUCUCACGCCGGCGCAUCAAGUCACUUGAAGGUGGAGUGGCCGUCAGUUGAAAAAUCUUGGACAAAAGAUGUACAUGAUGUCAAAGAAACAAAGUAACCCAAUGAUUAUUCAAUAAUGAAUCCAAUAGAAAAUUUCCCAACCAACUAAAUAAGGUGUGUGUGCUUAUGAACACAUUGCUGAAAAUGUGCUACUAGUAAUUUUGAGUAAGCAUGUAGAGGAUAUAAUCUUUAAGUCUAUCCGUUGUAUGUGGUACAGCAACCACCAAUGCACGAACCACAGCAAUGGCAGCUUCAUGAGAUCCAUCUUCAAGAAAAGCAUCCAUUUGAACACGUAUCUUAUCAACAAUCUGGGAGGUUUUAUUUUGGUCAGCCAGAUGUAUGAAAACUGUUCGAUUAAGUAAGCUAAUAUCUUAAUUGCAGAAGGAAGAGAACUCAUACCAUGUCAUUUCUAAAAUUUUGGGCCACUGCUCCAAAGGCAUCUAUGCUUGCAUACUUCACACUCAAGUUUUGGUCAGAACCCACUAGGGCAGGUAAUAUAUGAGUAGAUGCAACUUUCGCAUCGAUAUAUGGAACCUAUAAACGAAGGAAACCAAUUAAUUAUUUCUUAACCAGACACAUAAAGAAAUUAGGACUCCAAGAAUGGAUAGACUUACAAUGACUUUCAACAGAUUGGCAGCAUUUAUUUUCAUAUCUAUGUUAGAGCUGACAACCAUUUCCCAGAGUAAAUUAAAUAUCAUACCGUGAUGAUCUUCAAAUGUGCUGCAUAUGGAAAGCCCUUCAGUCAAAAUUAAGUUACAAAAAGUUAGUCGUAAAAGGUAUUUAUUGCUUUUCUAACCAAAGGAACCGAACAGCAUCAACAAUCUCAGCAUUGUACUUCAUAGAUUGAUUUGGAACACCUUCAACUAAUAACUUUCUCAGGUACUCCGCUAAUUGUUCAUGCUUGCUUGGACCACCCAAAACACAAGCCAAGAGAAGAGGUAGGACACACAUAGUAGCCAAUCUCUUAGCCACAGCCGUUCUUGGCCUCAAACUUGUUAUGUAGAUAAAAUCCACAAUUAAGAGCACACACAACACUGGUGUGAAAGGAUUUCAAGUAACUUUAAAGUUAUUACCUUUGAUUCCGGAAUGCGUUGCAGAUGGGAAAAAUGUCAAUUCAGCUUCUUCCCCUACAGCUAACAAGAAUACAGGCAGCAUUAUGUGUGUCAAAUAAGAAUCCCCGUAGAGUUCUGAUACAGCCAAUAGAAACUGCAUUACCAACAUUUAGAUCAGAAACAAUUAAUAAAGUAUUGUUGAUGAUGUAAUAUAAAAAAGACACCAAAGACAGAGAAAGAUACCUUGGUGAUUUGGUUUCGCAAAUUGUCCUCUUUUGGAGGUAACAAGCAUGCGAGCUGUAUUAAAGCAGGAAAGCAGUCGGCAUGUAGCCACUCAAAUGCAGGCAAUUGAACAUGUCCACUACCGAGUUAACAAAAUUCUCAUAAGCAGUUAUAGUAAAUCAAUUUAACAAUAUCACUACCUAAAGACAAAAGUCAAACGGCUAUGUUCUGUCAGAAAAUAGUAGACAGGCCUGAAAAAAGAAUAUAUAACAAAGUAAAAUAAAAUAAAAAGGAAAAAGGAGAAAAGAGCUUACCCUGCAUACAAUUCAAGGAAAGAUUUAGAAAAUAUUGUUCCAGUUGUUUUGGGAUCAGAAGAAACUGGGCACUUCUCAAUUGCUUUCUGGUGCACAUACGGAAGAAUUUCCUCUAGCAUUCGUAGUAAAACAUCAACAUUCCAGCGUUCUCGUUCACCUAAAACACGAAGAUGUGACUCCAUAGAACCUUCAACGCCCGAAAGAGGAGGACAGCGCUGCAAUGUCACAAGGAUGCAAAUUAAAGAAAGUAUCAUUAGAAAGACCUUCGUCAUAAGUGGAAAAUAUAAUCAAACAGAAACUAACCUGAACCGAGCUUGAUAUAUGAGAGAGUAAACUCUUAAGAUAUGGUCUAAUUUGUUUCCCCACUUGUUUACUGCAGGGACUAAUUGUUUAAGCGUCGUUUCCACCACCACUCCAGAGGGAUCACAGACCAAUUGGAACAUCAACUCCUCGACCUAUAAAUAAAAAUACAGUAAAAUAUUGGAGAAACAGAUCCUUGACUACUUUAUCCAUUUAUUUCUUGUCAGUCAUCAUAUUAUGAGGAGAAAAUUCUCCAUGCCCUAGACCAUGUGGCAUCAACCUGUUCUAGAGCUUACAUUGUAGCCAUUUCUGUCAAGUCAGAAUUCCUCUCAAUGAGAGCCUCUGAAGCAUAUUAGUGAGGCUGACCUUGAAAUAUUUGUCCAUGGUCGGGAAGAGUGGAAGCAGCAAUGCAAGAUUAUGUGCAGCAGCCUCCCGGACAACAGUUGCAGAAUCUUCUAUGAAUUGUUGAACAAUGGACAAUAUAAGAGAAUCACGAAUCUCAGGCCGGACAAACUCUGCAAACUCUCCACAUGAUUGAGCAACUAGCAGCCUGCGUUCCUCAUACAUAUGAUUUAUCUGCAACCCACAAACCGGAGAAACAUAAGAAAAACUUAUCAGAAAUAUGAAAAGGUUAGACACGAUCCUCUUCUCUCAAGGCGGGGCUCAAACUUACUUGUUCCCAACACUGGGGAAGCAUUUCUGUUUCUGUUCUCAUCUCUCCUACAUUUUUAGCAAGGUUAACACAUGCCUGAAAUGCAGUCAAAAGAUUCAGGAACAAGUCCAAAACAAUGCAGCUAUAUUACAAAUAAUGUGGUAGUUUGAAUAUUAGCCUACAUCCAUUAUAAUUCUUCUCUGCUGCUCAUCUGGGCGUUUGAUUAGAUUAAACAAUGUGUGGGUUAAGGAAUCCCAAGUGCUGCUAUCUGGAUGGCGUUCAAUCACACACAUGAUUAGGGGAAGAAGCUCCUGUGAAUGCAUAACCAAUAAAAAAAAUAAAAAUAUGUCUUCUAUUAAAGGAUCAAUUUAAAGAUCCAUCAUACAAUGAUAAUAUCAAUAAUAUAUUUAUACACACAUAUAUAAUAUUUAUGUACAUAUGAAAAAGUACAAGAAGCAAACCUCCCGAUGGUUGAUCAAAGCAUAUGGAACAAUCUUCGGCAAAGCAUCAGCAAGGAUCUGAAUGGUCUCUAGGCCCGGUAAAAUAUAAGCAUAACUUUAGAAAAGGAAUAGAAGGGAAAGGCAGUUCCAAAGCUUCUAAAAAAUCAUUCUAUGUUCUAUUAUUCAAAAUUUAGAUGGGUAUCCCAUCCAAAACGAAAAGAAAAAGGAUGUGCCAACCAUGGAAGAAAAAAAACAUGUCUAAUCCGGUCCUCCUAUAAAGGCAUUGAUGCAAUAAAAGAAAUGUAAAAGAAACUUGCCCUUUUCUCGGAAACAUUUUCAGGACUAAGAUUCUCUGACGUUAGGUGUAGGCUGCUGCCUAAUGAUGGUUCAUCAUUUUGUUCAAAAUUGGUUGUCUCUGAAAAAUCAUGAGCUUUUGUGGUUUUGGAUUUUAAACUUUCUAGUUCCAUCUGCAAUGAUAUAAUUUCUUCCUUAUCUUUCCAAGGACAGAGAUUGGAUUUGAUCAGCAUCAGCAGCUCCCAUAUUCCUUCCAGAACGAUAUACAAUGCAGUGACUUGAGCUCUACAAUCAUUGAGCUCCUUUCUCUGGUGUUCCAACUUCCACCAAACUGAUCACGUACGAAGCUAUUUAGUGUUGGAAUUAAAUAGAAUUUAGUUUUGAUCAAGUGGUUGAGAAGGAAGAAACCAAUAGGAAAGUGUAUGUCUAGUCUCAUAAGACAAGUGUAUGCUUUAGAUCUUUGUUUGUGAAUCAAGGGCUUAUAUUGCUCUAGAUUAGCUUGUAAGAGAAAAAAUCCAAUGUGUUGAUAUUUAAUGAAAAUAUCUGUGCUUGCUGCAUGGACUGAAAAACCUUUCACAUUCCUCUAAACUUUCUCUGUUUUCUUGUUCCUUGUCUACCUUCAGAAAUACAUCAUACCAACCAAAUUAACUCACCGGAAUUUAUCAUGGCCUCAGAGCUUAGGUUCUGAUCAAUUUCAGGACUGGGCGUUUUUGUGUGUGCUUCGUAUCUCUGAAAAGGAAAGGGGAAAAACAUACCCAGAUCGUGAAAAUCUCAUAUGUUCUUACAAAGUCUCACAUGGCUACUUCGAGCAGUGGAGGAGAUCUGAGGGCUCCUUUUUUAAUGGGAUCAACUACGAUUUUUGGUCCAUCAAGAUGAAGACCAUAUUCAAAUCACAUGAUCUCUGGAGUUUGGUGGACAAGGGUUUUGAAACCGCAGAAACUAAAGAUGAUUCUAGCGAUGAAGAUCAACAGUCUGUGAGGAAGAUAGCAAUGAAAGUUAAUGAAACCAGAGAUGCAAAGGCUCUUGGUAUCAUUCAAGGGGCAGUGUCUGAUGAGAUGUUUCCUCGAAUCUCAAACUUUGAAACCUCCAAGAUUGCAUGGGAUGUUCUUCAACAAGAAUUUCGUGGUGAUAAAAAGGUUAGGUCUGUCAAACUACAAUGUUUAAGAAGAGAUUUUGAGUACACUAGGAUGAAUGAUGGUGAAGCUCUAUAUGCUUAUUUAACAAGAUUGACUGACAUUGUGAAUCAAAUGAAAACUCUUGGUGAAGAACUGACAAACCAAAGAUUAGUACAGAAGAUACUUAUUAGCUUGCCUAAAUCCUAUGAUUCCAUCACAUCUAUUAUAGAAGAAACUAAGGACCUUGACUCCAUUGAGGUUCAGGAGGUGAUUGGUACAUUGAAAGGCUAUGAGCAGAGGUUAAAUAUGCACUCUGAAAACUUAGCUGAAAAGGCUUUUACUAGUCUAAGUGUGAUUGAGAGAGAUAGCAGUUACAAGGCUCAGGGGAACAACUCAAAUCAAAAGAAAUUCUGGAAAGGAAAAGGGAAGAAAUGGGACAACAACCAUACUCCACAAUCAAAAUCAGAAACUAGCAAUGAUUCUACCAAAACCAAGUGUAAAAUCUAUGACAAAUUACACUAUGGUGUUUGCUGGUUCAAGGGAAAACCCAAAUGCACCAAGUCUGACAGAUUUGGCCAUCUAGCAAAAGAUUGUAAUCCAAGAAGGAACCAAGCUGUCAACUAUGCACAUAGAGCAGAAGAAGAUGAAGUAAAUGUCUUUUAUGCUUGUAGUGUUGCAAGAACUGAAAAUAAGAGAGGAAUCUGGUACAUUGACAGUGGAUGCAGUAAUCAUAUGACUGCAUAUGAAUCCUUGUUAAUCAACAUUGACAGAAGCUUCAAUUGCAGAGUUAAAAUGGGGAAUGGACAACUAGUGGAAGCUACUGGAAAAGGAACUCUUGUUCUAGAGACAAAGGGUGGAAGAAGAUUCAUCAAGGAUGUAAUACUUGUACCAGGUCUUGAUGAGAAUCUCCUUAGUGUGGGACAGAUGAUUGCUCAUGGUUACUUCUUACUUUUUGGAGACAAUAUAAUGGAGAUCUUUGAUGACAGAAGCCUCCAAAACUUGGUAACACAAGUUGGCAUGACAGAAAACAAAAGUUUUCCACUUAUGCUAGAUUACAAUGACUCAAUUGCUCUAAAAGCAAGUGUUGCAGAAAACUCUUGGUUAUGGCACAAGAGGUUUGGACAUCUCAACUUUCACAGUUUAAAGAGAUUGGAGAAACUACAAAUGGUGACUGGUCUUCCUGAGUUACAAGAGACUAAAGAACCGUGUGAAGGUUGCAUAUUGAGGAAGCAUCACAGGGACUCUUUUGAAACUAGAAAUGCAUGGAGAGCAAGCCAACCUCUAGAACUCAUUCACACAGAUGUGUGUGGUCCAAUGAAGACACCUACACUCAGUGGGAACAGAUACUUUCUGUUAUUCAUUGAUGACUGCACCAGGAUGGUUUGGGUAUAUCUUAUGAGAAACAAGAGUGAAGUCUUUUCAAUCUUCAAGAAAUUCAAAGUGAUGGUUGAACUUCAGAGUGGUCUCAAGAUCAAAAGACUAAGAAGCGACAGAGGUGGUGAAUUCAUGUCACUUGAGUUCCAAGAAUUCUGUGAAGGAGCAGGAUUACAGAAGCAAUUGACAGUGGCCUACACACCACAGCAGAAUGGUGUAGUUGAGAGGAAUAACAUGACUGUGGUUGAAAUGACCAAGUCAAUGCUACAUGAUAAGAAAAUGCCACUUUCUUUUUGGGGUAAGGCUGUCAAUACAUCUGUGUAUCUCCUAAACAGGUGUCCAACUAAAGCACUUGAGAAGAAAACACCUUUUGAGGCAUUUAGUGGCAGAAAACCAAGUGUGAAGCACUUGAAGGUGAUCAAUCUGCUAUGCACAGAUACCAUCUCAAUUAAGACACAAGCUUGAAAUCAAUAGUGUCAAGUGUGUUCUUGUAGGUUAUAGAAGUUGUGAAAAGGGCUAUAGGCUUUACAAUAUUGAGUCACAUAAAGUGAUUAUCUCAAGGGAUGUGGUGUUCAAGGAGAAUGAAGCAUGGAAUUGGGAAACCAAUAACAUUGACACUAUCUCAUUUCCACUAGCAAUGGAAGAAGCACAAGCUGAAGUGCAAAAUGAGAAUGAACCUGUUAUACAUGAUGGAAGUCAAAAUGACUUUUCAACUCCAACACAAGGAUCUCAGUUCUCUACUUCAAAUGCAGAAGGACAAGAAUUACAGGAUUCCUCCUUUGAAACAACUCCAUUGAGAAUGAGGAGUUUAAAUGAGAUUUAUGCAGUGUGUAACUAUUGUGUUGUUGAACCAGAGAGUUUUGAAGAAGCUGAGAAGGAUCAAUCUUAGCAGAAAGCAAUGAGUGAAGAAAUUUCCAUGAUUGAGAAAAACUCUACUUGGAAAUUGGUAAAUAGACCGAGUGAUAAACCUGUGAUAGGUGUGAAAUGGAUCUACAAGACCAAACUGAAUUUGGAUGGAUCAAUACAGAAGAACAAAGCAAGAUUAGUUGCCAAAGGCUACUCACAACAACCUGGGGUAGAUUUCAAUGAAACCUUUGCCCCAGUGGCAAGGUUAAAUACCAUUAGAACCUUGAUUGCUCUUGCUGCCCAAAAGGGAUGGAAACUUCACCAGUUAGAUGUUAAAUCAGCCUUUCUAAAUGGCAUUCUGGAGGAAGAAGUGUAUGUGGAUCAACCACAAGGAUUUGAAGUACCAAAUAAAGAAGAGAAGGUUUAUAAGUUAAACAAAGCACUGUAUGGACUCAAACAAGCCCUCAGGGCUUGGUACAGUGAGAUAGACUCCUAUUUCAGCAAGGGUGGAUUUAACAAAAGUCCUAGUGAAGCUACAUUAUAUACAAAAACUGGUGAGAACUCUGAGAUGCUUAUUGUGUCUAUAUAUGUUGAUGAUGUGGUCUUUACUGGUAAUUGUGAAGAAAUGAUUGAAGAAUUCAGAAGGGACAUGAUGAGACAAUAUGAGAUGUCGGAUCUUGGCUUGUUGCAUCACUUCUUGGGAAUUGGAGUAAUACAAGAAGUUACUGAGAUCUUCAUACAUCAACAGAAGUAUGCACAAUCAUUGCUUGAAAGAUUCAAUCUGAAAGGAUGUAAAUCUGUGGCAACACCAUUGAUCACAAAUGAGAAACUUUGUAAAGUGGAUGGUUCUGAAUCUGCUGAUGAAUGCUUAUACAGAAGAAUGGUUGGAAGUCUACUUUACUUGACUGCUACAAGACCUAACAUUAUGUAUGCAGCUAGUCUCUUAUCAAGGUUCAUGCAUAAUCCCACAAGAAUUCACAUGGAAACUGCUAAGAGAGUACUAAGGUAUAUCUCAGGGACCUUGGACUAUGGAAUCAAGUAUGAAAAGGGAGAAAAAGCAAUUCUGGUAGGCUUCUGUGACAGCGAUUGGGGUAGCAGUGAAGAUGACAUGAGAAGUACCUCAGGAUAUGCAUUUACAUUUGGUUCUGGGAUAUUUUCCUGGGCCUCUGUCAAGCAACAAAGUGUUGCAUUGUCUACGGCUGAGGCAGAGUAUGUGAGUGCUGCAAUGGCUACCUCUCAAGCUAUAUGGUUGAGGUUUGUGUUAAAGGAUUUUGGUGAAAUGCAAGUGGAUGCUACACCACUUAUGUGUGACAACACAUCAGCAAUAGCUAUGACCAAAAAUCCUAUUUUUCACCAGAAAACCAAGCAUAUCAAAAGGAAGUUUCACUUCAUAAGGGAAGCCUUGCAGGAGAAUACCAUUGAACUGAUCUACUGCAAAUCACAGGAUCAAAUGGCAGACAUCUUUACCAAAGCUCUACCAAGGGAAAGAUUUGUCUAUCUCAGAGGAAUGCUUGGGAUCAAAACCAGAAUUCAUUUAAAGGGGAGUGUUGGAAUUAAAUAGAAUUUAGUUUUGAUCAAGUAGUUGAGAAAGAAGAAACCAAUAGGAAAGUGUAUGUCUAGUCUCAUAAGACAAGUGUAUGCUUUAGAUCUUUGUUUGUGAAUCAAGGGCUUAUAUUGCUCUAGAUUAGCUUGUAAGAGAAAAAAUCCAAUGUGUUGAUAUUUAAUGAAAAUAUAUGUGCUUGCUGCAUGGACUGAAAAACCUUUCACAUUCCUCUAAACUUUCUCUGUUUUCUUGUUCCUUGUCUACCUUCAGAAAUACAUCAUACCAACCAAAUUAACUCACCGGAAUUUAUCAUUUAGGUUGUAGUUGAAAAAGGGCCUAAGGGCCUAACAACCAUAGUUUAGGCAACCAUGCUGUUGCACUAACCACCAUAGUUUAUAGUUCAACAGUCGCUAUAUUAAAGCCUCUUUUGAUAUCUAAAAUUAGAUCCAAAUGGAUCGCCGCUAAAUUUAGGUAAAAAUUUAUAUCCACCUAACAUGUAAAAGAUCAAUUACUCAUAAAGAAAACUUAUGAGUAUCAAUCUCUCCAUAAUGUAGGAUUACAAAGACGAAUUUCCUUCAUAACUAAUCCUCUCUAAUUCCCUCCAAAUAAAAAAUAUAACUACAGUUUCAGCAUCUUGCCGCAUAAGCAAGCAGGAUUGGCCAAGCUUAGCUAAGCACCAUCCAAAGAAAGCAAACUACAAAUAAUACGAAGUGACUACAAAUCCUAGCAAACACAACCCAAAUUCACAUAGAUCAGAAAAUCCCAACCUCCACCACUGUCAGGAGCAUACAUUUAGCGUCCUUCAUUAAUCAUUGUCAUUGUAGCUUCAUUAUUCGAAGGCUGUGGUUGAGGAUGAGAGACUGAGUUUUGGAUAGUGAAUAGAGGCUGUUUAGGUUGUGGACCACCAAUAACAUUUGUGGAACCAUUUAGCAUAAAAAUUACAUCCGGCAUGCUCGGCCUAUCCGUCGGAUUGUCCUGUACACAAAGCAGCCCUAUAUGCACACAUUUCAUUACUUCUGGAGCCGAAUAUGAAUCAGCCGCCAACAUUUCAUCUACCAACUCCAAUUCCCUGCCUUCCUUCCAUAACUGCCAUGCAUAGGCUAGUAAGCCUAGCUGUCGAUCAUAGAUAUAGAAGGCCGUAUUCUUCUUGCUGCUAAUAAUCUCCAAUACCAAGACCCCAAAGCUGUAGACAUCAGAUUUUUGAAAAAAUAUUCCACCCAUGGCAUACUCUGGAGAUAUAUAUCCACUGUACGAACAUGAAACUCAUUAGUAUAUAUGUCGCUGAAAUAAGUGCUUGGUUUCUGCCUUUUAAGAACAACAUUACCAAAACUAUAUCUAAUGUGAACGAUGCAACUAAUUAGCAGUUUUUAUCCAAAACAGGAGUCGGUUAAGAGUUCAUGAAUCAUGAUGCAAUGCUAACCAUUAGAACUUUCGUUGCGUAUGACAUGUUCAAGAAUAUAUAGGAAGGGCAUGAAUCUUACAGCGUUCCCACAACUCUCUGAGUAUUUUCUAAAUUCUGUGUCCCUUCAACCACACGUGCCAAUCCAAAAUCUGAAAUUUUUGGGUUCAUUUUCUCAUCCAAAAGAAUGUUGCUUACUUUUAGAUCUCUAUGUAUUACCUUCAAAUAGGAAUCAUGAUGGAGAUAAACAAGCCCUCUGGCAACAACUUGAAUAAUAUUAAAACGUGUACCCCAAUCAAGCACUGCUCUUCUCGUCGAAUCUGAGCAUCACAUAAUCGAUCAAUACACUGCUUAGAAUCUAAAGAUAAGAAAUUGCAGUAAAGUGCAAUUGAAACUAACCGAAAAGAAAAGUAUCCAAGCUUUUGUUUGGCAUGAACUCAUAAAUCAGUAACUUCUCAUCCUCUUUAACGCAGCAACCCAUGAUUCUGACCAGAUUUUUGUGUUGGAGAUUGGAGAUCAAUAACAUUUCAUUCUUGAACUCCACUACACCUUGCCCUGAGGUACUGGAUAGUCUUUUUACUGCUAUUUCCUUCCCUUCUGCUAGCUUACCCUACACAAAGUCGACAAAUAAAUCAUUGCACUCAUGUCUGUUUCUCUGUACCUAUCAUAAAAAUAAUAAUAAUUACCCAAUAAACUGGACCAAAGCCUCCUUGCCCGAGUUUGUUUUCUAUGCUGAAAUUGUCCGUAGCAACUAAUAUGCUAUCAAAAUCAUAGAUCAGUAACUCAGACAGAUCAUGUUUUCCACCUAUAUAUUCUUGAAGGGCGUCCCUUGUUAUUUUGAUGUGUUCCCUUGUUAAUUUGAUGUGUCCUGAUUUUGCAAAUAUACACAUCAAACACUGAAUCAAAGCAAAACAACUUACAGAGUUUUGAGAGAUAAUAUGCUAAUGCAUUAUAUUAAUCCAACACCUCGAUCUCUUUCACUUAAUUACCUUUUUGCUUAGCUCUCAUCCUGCACAAACCAAACACUAUGGCACCCAAUACACCGAUAAAACAAACAACUGUAAGGCUCACAAUUAACUUUAUUGGCUUUCCUUUACCUGAAAAAUUUACAA
RNAcentral lists this long non-coding RNA (80068 nucleotides) under Malus domestica (apple). RNAcentral describes it as "long non-coding RNA (MDOM_LNC017766)". Lineage: Eukaryota; Viridiplantae; Streptophyta; Magnoliopsida; Rosales; Rosaceae. The record is from RNAcentral.